UUACAUCCCAGAAACCAUGCUCCAAAACCACACGAAACACAACCAUAAGCCUCUACUCUAGUUUUUUUUUUCCUUCCAACAAAGGCACUAUAUAUAUAUAGCCAUACAGAGAGAGAGAUAAUUCAAAAACCAACAAGUUAUUUCAGCAAAAAAUUAAACAUUCUCCAAAUAUAAAAUAUCCAAGAGUUUUGAAGAAUCAAAGAUUAGAAAAUGAGUUCAACGGGCAGAGCAUGGGUUACAGCAGUGAGUUUGGGAGUAGUAGAGGCAUUAAAAGAUCAAGGAGUUUGUAGGUGGAAUUACACAAUCAGAGCCAUAAAUCAGCACGCUAAGAACAAUCUACGCUCAUAUUCACACGCCAAAAAGCUUUCAUCUCAAUCUUCUUCUUCUUCUUUGGUUUCUGCUAACAAAUUAGAAUUGAAAAAGGUGAAGCAGUCUGAGGAAUCUCUGAGAAAAGUCAUGUAUUUGAGCUGUUGGGGGCCUAAUUGAUCGAAUCCUCACAGCAGCUACAUUUAAUUAGUUUCAUCUUUCUGUACAUGUAAAGUCUUUGACAAUAUUGUAAACGAUUUUGAGAGCUUGGGCUAAAUUGCCCCCAUCAACUCUUGUGGAAAACAAAUUUCUGCAAUCCAAUUUCGAAACAUCAUCAAAUUUACUAGCAAUCAAAUGACAGCACUAUAACAUAAACAGUUUUUAGCGUGAUAAAUAUUUUCUAAGAGUGUUAAAAUAUUUAUCAGUAUUAAUUAAAUUGUUAUUGAUUCAAUCUAACUAUAGGUUUUAAAAGAUAUUUUAAAAAAAAAUUAAUUGCCACUAAAAAUAUAUUUAGAUUAAUUAAUUGUCUAGUUGCCAAUUUAUAUUAUCAAAAUUAAUGUAGAAAAACAGAGUUAAUUUUAGAAGAAAAUCAUAAUAAUAAUCGAAAGAAUCGACAAGGCAAAAUAGUCUAAAGAAUCAUUCAGAAAAGUUAUUUACUUGACCGGCUGGGGUCCCAAGUCCCACUUUUUAUUUUAAUUUUAAUUUCAAAAUAAUUUGCAGCCCUAUAACCUCUGUCACAAUCUUUGCCCAAAUUCCAAUUUGAUCAUUUCCUUCUAUUGCAAUUACUCCCCAAAUAAAAGAAGAAGGGGUAUGAUUGCUAAUAGGAAAUAAUUACAAGAUGAACUAAUAAUUUGGCAGAUCAAAUAGUAUAUGUUGUAUCGCUCCAGAACUCGAACCCGUUCAGUUUUUUUGAUUUUUCCGCUCUUUCAUAUUCAUAUUAAAGUUUGAUUAAAUCUAGAUUAAAGUAGGGGAGUCUCACAUUAAUGAUAAAACACUCAUUAAUAAAGGCAACAUCGAAUUUGAGGAAACUCGAAACUGUGCUCUUUUGGUUAAGAAUAAGUAAUCACAACUCUUGUUAGUGAACUCAAACCAAUUAUAUACGCUUCUAUUUGAUUUUCAAGGGAAGUGAUACUUAUCCUGAACAAUUGCUUCAUAACAUUCAGUUAUUCACACGCAAACUAACAGAGGCGGACCUACAUUGAUCCGUGAGAUUGCAUGUGCAACCGAUAACUUUAUAGAUACCUUAAGUAAGGAUUAUAUAUAUAAUUGUGCACUUCAAUAACUUGAAAUUCAUCCAGAUGAGAUGGCAUGUGCAUCCGAUAACUUUAUAGAUACCUUAAGUAAGGAUUAUAUAUAUAAUUGUGCACUUCAAUAACUUGAAAUUCAUCCAGAUGAGAUGGCAUGUGCAUCCGAUAACUUUAUAGAUACCUUAAGUAAGGAUUAUAUAUAUAAUUGUGCACUUCAAUAACUUGAAAUUCAUCCAGACGAGUUGGUUAAAGCCGCAACUAUUACCCACCAUAUUGUGGGUUCGAGUCUAGCACACCCCAAUCUUCAAAUCCUGAAAUAGCCUCUACACACUAAAAGGAAGUUGUAAAAUACCAAGUUCUUUUUGAAAAAUAAAAAUUACUCAAAUUUACCUAAAUGUCAAAUAAAUUUACUAUAAAACAAAUGUGCUAUUCUUAGAACCAUCCAAGUUCUGAAUUCUCCAAAAUUCCCGUUCCAUUUUUUUCGUCUAUGCUUUUGAGAAAUAAUGAUGGUUAAUUUAGAAAAUAAAUAAUUAAUAUAAAAAAUAAAUUUCUUAAAAUAUACUAUUAAAGAUGAUAAAUAAAAAUGACAAAAGUGUGACGUGCUCCAACUCUUGUCUUAUUUUAAGAAAAUCACAAUGAAUGAAACGUCUAGAAAACCACUGGCUGUAGAACCCACAGUUACACAAAAACCAGUGGCUCAUCACUUUCUAGGUACUCUCUUUAUCCAAUUUACUCUUCAGCUCACUGCCUAUAUAUUCAGGGCCCUUAGCCCCAACUUGUAAACAUCAUCUCCUAAAUCAUCAAAUCUACUAGCAAAAGCAGAAAAACAGAGUUAAAUUUUAGAAGAAAUUGAAUCAAAAUGAGUCUAAGCAGGAGAGCGUGGAUAGUAGCAGCCAGUGUUGGAGCAGUGGAAGCCUUAAAAGAUCAAGUUGGAUUGUGUAGAUGGAAUUACCCAUUGAAGUCAUUGGCUCAACACACAAAGAAUAACAUGAGAUCUUAUUCUCAAGCCAAGAAACUUUCUUCUUCAUUAAUUGCGAAGAAUGAAAAGGCAGAGCAAUCUGAAGAAUCAUUGAGAAAAGUUAUGUAUUUGAGCUGUUGGGGUCCAAAUUGAUUGUAAUUAAAUAGGACUACUGUCUAUUUUGAAAAUUAUAUGAGAAAACUCCAAUACGGUGUUGAUAUAUUUACAUAACUUUUUGUCAGCUAUUCCAAUAUUUCUGCAUUACUUCAAUAAAAUACUAUAGUAUAUGGUUUUUAAAAUCUGAAAUUAGAAAUAGAAUCAAGAUCGAACAGCAUCUCAAAAGAUCAGUACAAAUUAAAAAUAUUAAAUCACGAAGAGUGGAAAUUGAAUUGCAUCUUCUUAACAUAAGCUUAGGUAUAAAUUGAUAAAUUUGUCUGUAGGUUUCUUGUGAAUAGUCUUUACCACUCCCUCUUUUUCUCCGCACACUUUUAUUAUUUAAUAUAAUAUUAUCAACAUGUCCUUUACUUGCUUUUUUUCAUGAGCCAACUACGUGGAUUUUUUAUUUAUUUGGAUGACGGUUAGAUUCGAUCUCAGAAUCUCUAUCUGCUGUGAUACUAUGUUAAAGUGUGUGAUCAUAUUAUCUAAAAAUAAAAGGAGCACAUGUUUAUUAUUUAAUAUAAUAUUCUCAACAUAGUUUUAUGCAUAUCGUCUAUUUCCAUAUCUCUUUGAACCGUAACGAUUAACAAUAUGUAUAUUGACUUAUUUUGAUACUUUUUCAUUCUAAAAGUUAUUCAAAAACACUUUCAAAAUUAAAAAAUAGCUUAAAAGUAAAAAACUACUAAAAAUAAAUCAAUUCAAACACUCAUUUAAAUGUAUACUAAAAGAAUAUCUAACAUACUUUAGCAUACCAAAAAUAUAUCCUAUAUAGAUAAAAUGGUGUGAAGAUCGUGACAAAAAAGUUAGUAAGUUGGUCAAGUUUUGUCUCGAAAAAAAGUUAUUGAUUUAUCAAUAUUAGAUUAUUGGUUUAGCGGCUUUGAUAAUGGUUUUGAUUUUUUUGUUAUCGGGUUAUCGGUUUUUACGGUUUGAGGUUUUUUCUUAACGAGUUAACCGAUAACCGACCGAUAACCGAUAGUAAAUUAAAUAAUUAUAUUUAUACCAUUUUUGUAUAUAAAGUUCUUGACUUAGAGUUUGAUUUCCUACUUUUAUUUUUUGUUGUCUCAAACACUUGAUUAUUCUAUAAUGUAAAAGUGUUUGCUUUUGAGCAAGAUGUAACUUGUGAACUCAUGUGCAUGGUUUAAUUGAUUUGUCACCUGAUUUCUAAAUGAUUUUAAAUGUUUUUUGUGUGUCAAAUCUUAACCGUUAAAUCUAUAAGCGAACCGAUAACGAUAAAAAAUCGAUAAAUCAAUAACCAAUAAGCCAAUAUCUUAAUGAUUCUAUAACGAUUUAGCAUCUCUACAAACCGAUACGGCGAUACCCAAUAAGUCAAACCAAUAAACUUCAAAAUCAAACCGAACCAACCGAUAAACAACCCUAAUAUAGUUACUUUGAGUACAUAUUAUUAUUUUUAAUAUUUAUUGUGUUUUAAUCAUCGUAUUAUAUUUUAUUGUUAUCUUUUUUGCCCUUUUUAAAGAGAAAAUUACGCGGUUAAGCAAACUUAUACUACUUAAUUACUCAUCAUAACUAUAGUUUGGUAUAAUCAUAUAUACAAAUGCAUAUGUAUAAUAUACAAUUAUCUAACCUAUAUACAUAUACAAUUCACCUCUCUCUCACUCUAUGCCCUCUCUCGCUCGCCUCUCCCCUCCCUCUCCCAGUCUCGUUUGCCAUAUAUACAAAUGCAUAUGUAUAAUAUACAAUUAUCUAACCUAUAUACAUAUACAAUUUACCUCUCUCCAACUCUCUUCCCUAUCUCGCUAGCCUCUCUCCUCCCUCUCCCAAUCUCGCUUGCCUUAUAUACAAAUAAAUAUGUAUAAUAUACAAUUAUCUAACCUAUAUACAUUUACAAUUCACCUUUCUCCUACUCUUUCCCCCCUCUCUCUCCCAGUCUCGCUUGCCUCUCUCCUCCUUAUAACAUGUAGCUACGAAUUGUAAUUAUCAAACUAUAGCUAUGGAGAGUAAUUGGGCUAUUUUUGAAUGGCUAUAUGUGAAAGUUCCCCCUUUUUAAAUGUCAUGUACUGCUUUUCUUUUUAAUCGACACAUUUCUUUUAAUUAUUACUCUAUUGAAUAUCCUUUCCCAUGGUUUGGGCGCAAGUGGAUUUUCUUUAAUCUCGCCAAUCGGUGUGCAUCCUUAUUUAAAUUUUAUUUAUUUAUAUAUUUUAGCCUCAUGCAUGCCAGAACAUGUGUCACUCCUAAAAACAGUGUGCUCUCCAAAUAUAGUACACGUAGUAAUAUAAUAAUUGAAGUGCCAACUUCACCCCAAAGGGGUAGAAACGUACAUUCAUAAACACACACUUAACUCCAAAAUUGUAAAACCAUGUUCCAAAACCACAGGAAAAUGGAAAUAGCACAGCCAAAAGCCACUAGUUUUAUUGAGCAAUACUUACCUAUAUAGUAUAUAAUAACAAUAGAUAUAAAAUCAUCCAUUCAUCAUCCCAAGUAAUUGAAUCCAACAAAUUAAACACAAAAAGAACAAGUCUUUGUAAAAGGAAAUAGUAAGCCAAAAUUUGAAGAUGAGUUCAACAAGCAGAGCAUGGGUUACAGCAGUGAGUUUAGGAGUAGUAGAGGCACUAAAAGAUCAAGGAGUUUGUAGGUGGAAUUACACAAUCAGAGCCAUAAAUCAGCACGCAAAGAACAAUCUACGCUCAUAUUCACACGCCAAAAAAUUAUCUUCUUUGGUUUCUACAAAAAGUGAAAUGAAGGAGAAAGCUAAGCAGUCUGAAGAGUCUCUUAGGAAAGUUAUGUACUUGACCUGUUGGGGUCCAUAUUGAAUUCCAACUGUUAAAUUUUUUGAUAUUCUUAUGUACAUAUUUAUUCCUUGAGAGUUUAGGAGAAUGUUGAAGCAGUAGCUUUAUAGCUUGAGGCUUAAUUGCCUUGUCAAUAUUAAUAGGAAAACUUUUUUUUCCUAGUCCAUAUUGAUAUUGACGCAGUUCUCUAAUGAAUCAUGAAUGAACAAUGUGAAAUUUGUUGAUUUGAAACUUUCCAUCUAUUACCAAUGUAAAAUGGUUCAAAUUUACCUCUAAAUUAUAUAAAAUAGAAUUAGUUUUACCUCCAUUAAUAUUUUGGGUUAACUAUAUUUUACCAUUGCUAAAAGUUCUUAUUUUUGAAGAAAGCUUAGAAUACAGUAAUGCCGUACUCACUUCGUUUCUAUUUAUAUAUCACCAUUUUAUUAUUCAUGCAUUCAUAAAAAUCAAGUAAAUUUAUCAUUGUAUUCUUAUUCAGGCUUCGGUGGUCUUUUAAGUUUCAUGCCUUGAGUUUUUGGCCAAAAUCAUUCUUAAACUAUAUCUCAAACUUAAACUACAUUCUUAAAGUAUCAUUCUUGGCAAAAAACAUCCUUCAAGUAUUUAAAAGUGAACAAUUUUCUCUUCUACUUGAAUUUAUCAGAAAACUAACAUAUACCACAAAAAUCAAGUGAUCAUCCCCUCGUAAUUAUUAUUCUAAGAUACGUCAAAAAUUCUAUUGUGAACUUUUUCGGUAAUUGAGUUUAGCAUUAUGGAAAAUCUUUUAAUUUGACAGUUUUUUUUUCAAUUAUUUUUCAUGUAAUUAGAUAUUAAAAAUAUUAUUAGUCGAAAUAUGUUUCUUCUCAAUUGAAUAUCGUAGAAGCGGUGUUUGUUGGAGACUUCCGCUUCUAAAAAUAUAGAAUCAAACUCAAAUGCGAGAAAUAAUCAAUAUUUUAAUCACUUUAAUAUCAGAUUGGCCCAAAAAUUUAUUGAUCUAAAUAUAAUUUGGCUAUGAAAAAGGAAAAGAUAAUUAAGCUUUAACUUCUCUAUGGUACUAAAUGAGAAAAAGAGCAAAUCAUGUAUGCUCACACCUUCCAAAUAUUUUUUAUUUCCGUAAACAAUAGUCUCUAUGAUUUUUAAUAUUUUUUUCAAGAACUUCUUAUAGGAAGUAGUGAAAUUAUGCAGGAAAACUUUUGUUGAUAAUCACGUGAGCUGCUUGUGUUUUUGUAGGAUCCCUUAAUUUUUUGACGAUAUCUAACAAAAGGAUGAAAAUUGUUCACUUUUAAAUACUUGAAGAAUGUUUUCUGCUAAGAAUAAUACUUUAAGAUGUAGUUUAGGUUUGAUGUAUAGUUUAAAGAUGUUUUUGGCCAAAAACUAUUUCACGCCUCAUAACAAACUAGUAUUCUUAUUUAGUGAUCUAGAACUUAAGUUUUCAAUAAAUAAAUAUAAAUUAAUUUAUUUGAUUAAUUAAAUUAAUCAAUGAAUAUGAAUUAAUCAUUUAAGUUUCUUAUAUCGGUUAAAUUUUUUUAAUCUCUUUGUUCUUUCUAUUCUCUAGGAAAUCUUCAUGUCUGCAAAAAUGACAUAGAAGUUUCUCUAUAACAAAGAUUAGUUAAUUUGGACCCCAACAGCUCAAGUACAUAACUUUCCUCAAAGACUCUUCAUAUUGCUCUGCCUUUUCUUUCUUUGCAAUUAAUGAAGAAAGUUUCUUAGCUUGAGAGUAAGAUCUCAUGUUAUUCUUUGUGUGUUUUGCCAAACACCUCAAUGGGUAAUCCCAUCUACACAAUCCAACUUGAUCUUUUAAAGCCUCCAUUGCUCCAACACUGGCUGCUACAAUCCAAGCUCUCCUGCUUGAACUCAUUUUGAUUAUUUUUUUUCUCUUGAAAGUAUUUCUUAUGAUGAAUUGGUUCUCUGGUAUUUUGAUGAUUUUGAAAAUGAUGUUUGGGAGUUUGGGGUUAAGGCUGAAUUUCUAGUGUACCUAAAGAGUUAUAAACAAGUGGCUCUUUUUAGUUAUAUAACUGUGUGCUCUUUGUAUUGCAGGCAGCUAGUGGUUUUAUUGUAUGUCUUUUUAAUUAUUUAAAUUCAUUUGUUUUUUUGCUAGAGUUGCAUUUGCUUCAAAAACUUAUCUGGAAUGCUUCGAAUAUUCUAAAUUUAAAGAUGAGCAAGUGCUCUAGCCUCUAGGAACAAGUUAAGAGAGCAUGAUUGGCACCCAGUUGGAUCAAGUGACUUUGGAUAACCUUCUCCUCCCGUCACCGGUUGGAUCAAACUACUUAUAUGAUGUGACUUCAGUUCUUAGGUUAUUGAAAUCAUUCAUCAGCAAAGAGGCGUGUUUUGUUCCCUUAACUCGAAUAACGAAAAUUACAAGCUUGAUAGAUUUGAGGCAUGUUGUGUUUAGUUAACUCGAAUGAGGAAAAUUACAAGCUUGAUAGAUUUGAACAUAAUCGAAGUAGCUCCUCAUCCAUGUCUAAAACCUUCCAAGUGCCUUACCCUGGUCAGAUCGCUCCCGAAUUUGCUAGGGACUCGUAUGAUUCAAUAUACUAUGCCAAGGUUAUGUAUCUUGAGGUAUGCCUUUUCGAUACUCCCUAAGAGGCCUUCCAUUUAUUACUUGUUUCUUUGCAUUUUGAUGCUUAAUACAUACACAGAAGUUCACUACUAGUUCAUGUUCAAGAAUAUGGUAAAAUAUUUAGGCAUUGCUCCAAAAUUUAGCUGAUUGGUUAAACAUUGAUCAUUGAUGACAAAUUGCAGGUCGAGCCUUCCAUUUAUUACUUGUUUCUUUGCAUUUUGAUGCUUAAUACAUACACAGAAGUUCACUACAAGUUCAUGUUCAAGAAUAUGGUAAAAUAUUUAGGCAUUGUUCCAAAAUUUAGCUGAUUGGUUAAACAUUGAUCAUUGAUGACAUAUUGCAGGUCGGUCGAAGGUUAUCUGAAGUCAAAAAGAUGAAAGUAUGUAGUGGGCUGAGCUACGAGAAGCUGUCGUUUGAGGCUUGUAGCCACCUUGCUCGUAAUAAAUAUUUCCCUUUAAAAUCUCCUGGACAAGCUCUCAUCACAUAGCAAGUGAAGCUCUAAAGCUUGCUCUUGCUUCAAAGAAACCAAUCAAGUUAGCUCGAUUCUCCUUUUAGUUUCGUGGAAACAAAAAAUUCAGGAAACAAAGAUCAGCAGAUCGUGUUAUAGGCAGGAAAGUUGGAUCUUUCAAUUGAGAAUGAGAAGCUCAAAGAACAUUUACAAGGUAUGCAAUGGAGAGUGCUAGAAUUGGAAAAAGUUUGUAGGAAAAUACAAAAUCAAAUGGCAAAGAUCUUGAAAUCAAGAGUAUCAAGCCAUAAUAAUGCCAGAUCAUUACCUUGACUAGGAGUGGCAAACGAGCGGGUCGAGUCAAAUAUGAGUCGAUCGAAAAUGAAUUAAAUAAAAAUGGGUAAAAUACUCGACUCAUAUUUUAAAUGAGUAAACAACGAGUUACCCAAUGGAUAAUAUGGGUGUCCAUAUUACCCAUAUUAUUCCAUGAGUCAAGUUUCUCGCAUGCUCAAUGAGCUCCAAAAUGACCAAGUCAUAAAGCAUUUAAAGACAUUAAAUGAUCAAUUUGGAUAACGAAGAUAACUAAAUCAGACAAUUGUGACUGGAACACCUUUGUCAAAUGACAAUUAAAUUUGCCUAAUCCACCAAAAUUGUUAUUGGAAAAAAGAGAUACAUUUGUGAACUUUACAGAAAGUUGUUUUGUUUUCUACUCAAUCAAACUCAAUUGUUUGCAUCAAUGUCGUCUCUUGUGUGUUACUACAUGACAAUUUUCUAAAAGUUCUUCAAACACUUCUUCCAUCUUAUGUCAUGACCUCUAAAGCCUCUAUGGUUUGUGGGUAUGUUAAAUAUUGUUGCUGCAAUAUGAGACGGUGUUAAUCCAGCUUCCGCCAACUGAUCAACUGGAGAUCCACGAUUAAUUGCUCGGCAGCAUGUUAACUCCAAAAAGACGAAGAUGCUGCACCUACAAGGCCACCACUUCCAACAAAAUUUCCACAAACUCUCAGUGAUUUCUGCUAUUGUGGAUUGUCCUUUGAGAUGCGAUGAUUUGACAGAAAAAGAAAACAAAAAAAAUAAGAUCAUAGGUAUGCUGAAACUUUUAGAUAGCUAAUAUACCAUAUGCAGGAUAUUGAAAAAUUGAAUUUGCUUUCUCACUUUUCUCAGAGAGAGAGAGAGAGUUUACCAUGCAGCUCCAGAUCCAUUUCCAAUGAAAAUUGACUCAAUGUUAUAAAUACAAACACUCUCGAUGUGCUGCUAUUAGCUUGGUUAAUGUAGAGAUUACCAUUUACAACAAAAACAAAUACACCUAAAGAGCACCUUAUUCCAAAAUGAUCAAACAAAUCUCAAUGUUCCGCUAUUAAAAGAAGAAGAUGGAUUUUGGAGAGUUGACAUCUCCUCAAUGAAGAAUCUAUACAGAAAUACCAAAUAUACUCACUACUUCACUAAUUGUAACUUGAGAGCGAUUUGCUAAAUCACUCGGUCGAAUUCGGAAAGAUCCAGAUCGAGUACAUUUUAACCAAACUAGCAAUUAGAGGCAAAUAGUGUAUUUAAGACAACAAAAAUUUAAGUAGUGUUGAUAUUUUGAUGAUAUGACAGAUCGAUUAGUAUUUGUAUGAUCAUUUUGACAUGCUUGCAAAUAAUUCUUCAACUUAAUUAUUUUGUAUUUGGUGGUCUUGAUUUCAAACCAACAAGGAGGAAGAAGAACAUCUUAAAAGAUCUCAAGUGUGUGUAAAAUUGAGUGAACAAAUUGCAAUAACAACUUAAUUUGAUUAUAAUAACACGAUUUAAAGAAGUUAAUUUUCAAAUGGAAGGAAGAACACAUCUUAAAAGAUCUAAAGUAUAAAUUGUGGGAACACAAGUUGCAUUGCAAGCAUCGAUCGGUAAUCUGAAAGACGAUCAUAAACAAGCAUUUUGCCCGUUUGAAUAUAAAUUUUCGAAGUAGUAUUUAGAAAUUUAUUAGAUUUUAAAAUAUAACACAAUUUCAUACCGAUAUAAGUCACUAACUCGGAUUUGGCUCCCCCUCCAGUAGUCCAUUUGUCUAAUUUUAUUUAGGAAAAAGGACAAAUAUAUCCCAAAUUCUUGUAUUCGUUAUACUUUGGGGACAUUUGUGCCCCUGCCAUCCAAAAAUUAAAGUAUAUAUACACUUUAUAUUAACGGACAUACACAUGUCAUAAUUUUAUCCGCUGAUUAAAUAUCGGAUCAACGGAUAAGAUUGCGCCACGUGUACCUAUUUAGUCUUCCGUUUGAAUGAUGGGCAUAUAUGCUCUUGUUUUAAGACAACAGGGACAUCAAUGUCUCAAUAGUAUGACGGAGAAUAUCUGCAUAUCAUUUACGAUAGUUCAAAAAUAUAUCUAUCCUUUUUCCCUUUUAUUUACUACAUGUGUCCCUCAAAUUAAUAUAUGGUUCAGAUUAUUUGCUAAAAUCAAUCAUUUAACCAUAGUCAAACAUUAUCUUCCUUUUUAUUAUUUGCUUUAUAUGGAGUAUAAUAAGUUACUGUAUAUUAGAAACAACGACAGUACUUGGCAGUGGUAAGAUUUUUUUGCAGUUAACAUAACUCCAAACAUUUCGGUGGUUUCAUUUUCAAGAACUUUUCCCAUGGUUUGGGCAAGAGUGGAUUUUAUUUAAUCUAAGCCAAACCAUGUGCCAAUUUUCAUCUGCAUAUAUUAUUAUCAUUAGCAUUAGACACAUCAGCACAUGUCACUCUACGUGUCCCCCAUCUAGCAGCUAUUCCAAACAACAAAGCUACAAAUUCGGUGUGCUCUUUACCCACCCACCCCAUAAUUGUGAUCAUAAAAAUAAUGUAUAUACUAAUUAAAAUACCAAUUACACCCUCCUCAAUAGUCAAUACUGAUCAUUAAGAGAUUAACCCAAGGGCAGAAAUGUACUUUCCAUCCCAGAAACCAUGCUCCAAAACCACACGAAACACAACCAAAAGCCUCUAGUUUUUUUUUUCCUUCCAACAAAGACACUAUAUAUAUAUAGCCAUACAGAGAGAGAGAGAGAUAAUUCAAAAACCAACAAGUUAUUCAAGUAUUUCAGCAAAAAAUUAAACAUUCUCACAAAUAUAAAAUAUCCAAGAGUUUUGAAGAAUCAAAGAUUAGAAAAUGAGUUCAACGGGCAGAGCAUGGGUUACAGCAGUGAGUUUGGGAGUAGUAGAGGCAUUAAAAGAUCAAGGAGUUUGUAGGUGGAAUUACACAAUCAGAGCCAUAAAUCAGCACGCAAAGAACAAUCUACGCUCAUAUUCACACGCCAAGAAGCUUUCAUCUCAAUCUUCUUCUUCUUCUUCUUUGGUUUCUGCUAACAAAUUAGAAUUGAAAAAGGUGAAGCAGCCUGAGGAAUCUCUGAGAAAAGUCAUGUAUUUGAGCUGUUGGGGGCCUAAUUGAUCGAUUCCUCACAGCAGUUAGAUUUAAUUAGUGUCAUUUUUCUGUACAUGUAAAGUAUUUGACAAUAUUGUAAACGAUUUUGAGAGCUUGGGCUAAAUUGGCCCCAUCAACUCUUGUUGAAAACAAAUUUCUGCAAACCAAUUUCGAAACAUGAUCAGAUUUACUACUCUCUGUCAAAAAAUACUAGUCCAUUAUUGAAUUUAAGAAACUAUAUAAAUAGAUGGAUUUGAAUAUCAAUAUAAUAUCUUGAACAAUGUUAUAGGAAAAUAACUAUAAUUAAAAGGGACCUUUCGCAAAUAGUCAUUCUAAUAAAUUUAAUUAUGCUCCAUAACUAUAAUUUGUAUAUUUACGGUUUGUAGCUACAGUUUAAGCUAUCCCGUUUGUAUAAUUCACGAAUUUGUAUAAUUUGCGGGUAUAUUUAUAUAAUUCAGUUAUUUUUGUAUAAAAUCAAAAUAAUGAAUUUAUACAAUUACAAAUAUCUGAAGUGUAGACAGUUAUACAAAUUAUAUUAUACAAAUUUUAAAUUAUACAAAAGUUACCCAAAUUAUAUUAUACAAAUUUCAAAUUAUAUUAUACAAAUUUCAAAUUAUAUAAACGUGUGAAUUAUACAAAACUAAAAAGUUGUGCCGCGUAAUUAUAGUUAAAAACAAGGUCGCGAAUUAUAAUUAAGGCAAAUUAUAGCUAUGCUAACUAAUUAAUUAGUAUAUGUUUGAUUAUACACAUAAUUUUUACUCAAUUAAAAAUAAGGGUAAAUUAAGACUAAGUGUAAAGUUAUCCAUUAAUUUCAUAAAGUGGAUAAGUAUUUUGAAUAUCCAAAAAUAAUAUAAUGGAUAACUAUUAUUGGACGGAGGGAGUAGCAAUCAAAAGAUCACUCUAUAACAAAAAUAAUUUUUAGCAGUAAUAAAUAUAUAUCUUAACAAAUAGUGUUAAACAUUUAUCAGUAUUAGUUAAAUUGUCAUGCGGUCCAAUAUAGUUAUAUGUUUUUAUAAAAAUAUUUUAAACAUAUUUAGUGAUAACUAUGCCAUUGUCGUUAAUAGUCAAUUUAUAUUAUCAAAAUUAAUUUAAAAAAACGGAGUUAAUUUUAGAAGAAAAUCAGAGAAGUCAUAAUAAUAAUUGAAAGAAGCGACCAAAAUAGUCUGAAGACUCAUUGAGGAAAGUUAUGUACUUGACCUGCCGGGAUCCCAAAUCCCAAUUUGAUCUUUUCUUAACAAAUGCUUUUAUUCCAAAUAUUUUUUGUAGAGCUAGAGAGUAAAAAAAGAAAAGAAAAAAGAAGAAGAAGGAUACCGUAAAUAGAGUUGAAUGGCAUUCCAACUCAAUAGAAGCACGUAUAUCGAAAUGUGGGAAAUAAUUACAAGAUGAACGAAUAAUUUGACAGAUCAAAUAGUAUAUUGUAUCGCUUCAUCAUGCUUGCAGAUAAUAUAUUUGCGUGUUAUUUUAGGAUCCGAAACAUACAUAAAUAUAGAACCACAAUUAAAAUUACUAACCUUUGUCUAACACAUAAAUUGGGUUUUGGUUUGAGUCCCGAUUAAACUCGAAUCAUCCCAGAAAAUCUCAUAAUUAUGAUAUCUUUAAUAAAGACGAUUAACUGCCUAAUCGGACUCGAGACCUCCAAAAUGAAAAAGAAAUUAUGUACACUUUUACUUGAAUUUCAAGGGAAGUGAUAUAAAGUUCACCAAGUUCUUUUUGAAAAAAUAAAAAUCACUCAAAUUUACCUAAAUGACAAAUAAAUUUACUUGAAAACAAAUGCGCCAUUCUUAGACCCAUCCAAGUUUUGGAUUCCCACUUCAUCCGUUAUUUUUCUUUUUUUGUCUAUUUGAAUUUUGUAUGCUUUUGAGAAAUAAUGAUAGGUUAAUUUAGAAAACAAAUAAUUAAUAUAAAAAGUAAAAUACAAAAAAAAAGUAUUAAGGAUGACAAAAGCUUGCCGUGCUCCAACUCGUGUCUUAUUUUAAGAAAUCACAAUGAAUGAAUGGAACGUCUAGAAAACCACUGGCGGUAGAACCCACAGUAACCCAAAAACCAGUGGCUACACUCUCUUCAUCCAAUUUACUCUUCAUGCCUAUAUAUUCAACCUUAGCCCCAACUUUUAAACAUCAUCUCUAAAAUCAUCAAAUCUACUAGCUAUCAAAACAAAAACAAAAAAACAGAGAACCAAAGCAGAAAAACAGAGUUAAAUUUUAGAAGAAAUAAAAUCAAAAUGAGUCUAAGCAGGAGAGCGUGGAUAGUAGCAGCCAGUGUUGGAGCAGUGGAAGCCUUAAAAGAUCAAGUUGGAUUGUGUAGAUGGAAUUACCCAUUGAAGUCUUUGGCUCAACACACAAAGAAUAACAUGAGAUCUUAUGCUCAAGCCAAGAAACUUUCUUCUUCAUUAAUUGCGAAGAAUGAAAAGGCAGAGCAAUCUGAAGAAUCAUUGAGAAAAGUUAUGUAUUUGAGCUGUUGGGGUCCAAAUUGAUUGUAAUUAAAUAGGACUACUGUCUAUUUCGAAAAUUAUAUGAGAAAACGUGUUGAUAUAUUUGUUGCUUUGAUGACAAAUCAGCUAUUCCAAUAUUUUUGUAUCACUUCAAUGAAAUACUAUAGUAUAUAGUUUUUAAAAUCUGAAAUUAGAAAUAGAAUUAAGAUCGAACAGCAUCUCAAAAGAUCAGUACAAAUUAAAAAUAUUAAAUGACGAAGAGUGGAAAUUGAAAAUGUAAAUUGAUGCUUUCAGGCACAUUUAUUUGCAUUUUCUUAAACAUAAACUUAGGUAUAAAUUUUUCUGUAGGCUUCUUGUGAAUAGUCUUUACCUAGAGAAAGUUUUUCUUUUGGAUUGGUCCCUCUUUCUUCAAUUUCUUUCAAUUGGAUCAGAAUAUAUUUCCAAGUCAAAUAGUUUAUUUAUGCAUAUUUCUAUUUCCAUAUCUCUUUGAACUGUAACGAUCAAAACAAUAUCAUAUUGACUUCUUCUUUUUCUUUUUAUACUUUUUCAUUUUUAAAGUUAUCCAAACACUUUCAAAAUUAAAAAAUAUCUUAAAAGUCAAAAAUCAUUAAAAAUAAGUUAUCAAGGGUAUAUCAAAAGAGUGUUUGAAAACUAUUGAAAAGAGGUGAAUAUAUCCGAUGCAACAUAACUUUAACAUACCAAAAUAUAUCUUAUAUAAGAUAAAAUGGUGUGAAGAUCGUUACUAAGCAUUGUGUGCGCCAUAGUAUUAAUCUUAUACAUAUAGUUACUUUGAUACAUAUUUAACGUUUAUUGUGUUUUAAUCAUCGUAUUAUAUUUUAUUGUUAUCAUUUUUUUCUAUAUUUUUUUAAUUAUUACUUCCGGAGAAUUACAUUAUACAUUGGAAAAGAAACGAUAUACAACUACAUUUAUGUUCAAUCAUCUGACAUUGGUUUCAUUUGAAUAUCCUUUCCCAUGGUUUUGGCGCAAGUGGAUUUUCUUUAAUCUCGCCAAUCCGUGUGCAUUCUUAUUAAAAUUUUAUUUAUUUAUUUUAGCCUCAUUUAUACCAGAACAUGUGUCACUCCAAAAAACAGUGUGCUCUCCAAAUAUAGUACACGUAGUAAUAAUUGAAGUGUCAACUUCACCUCCAUAAACACACACCUACCUCCAAAAUUGGAAAACCAUGUUCCAAAAACCACAGGAAAAUAAAAAUAGCACAGCCAAAAGCCACUAGUUUUAUUGAGCAAUACUUACCUAUAUAUAUAUAUAUAAAAAAAUCAUCCAUUCAUCAUCCCAAGUAAUUGAAUCCAACAAACACAAAAAGAACAAGUCUUUGUAAAAGCACUCACAAAAAUAGUAAGCCAAGAUUUGAAGAUGAGUUCAACAAGCAGAGCAUGGGUUACAGUAGUGAGUUUAGGAGUAGUAGAGGCACUAAAAGAUCAAGGAGUUUGUAGGUGGAAUUACACAAUCAGAGCCAUUAAUCAGCACGCUAAGAACAAUCUACGCUCAUAUUCACACGCCAAAAAAUUAUCUUCUUUGGUUUCUACAAAAAGUGAAAUGAAGGAGAAAGCUAAGCAGUCUGAAGAGUCUCUUAGGAAAGUUAUCUACUUGACCUGUUGGGGUCCAUAUUGAAUUCCAACUGUUAAAUUUUUUGAUAUUCUUAUGUACAUAUAUAUAUUCCUUGAGAAUUUAGGAGAAUGUUGAAGCAGUAGUUUUAUAGCUUGAGGCUUAAUUGCCUUGUCAAUAUUAAUGGGAAAACAUUUUUUUUCUAGUCCAUAUUGAUAUUGACGCAGUUCUCUAAUGAAUCAUGUGAAAUUUGUAGUUUUGAAACUUUCCAUCUAUUUACCAAUGUAAAAUGGUUCUAAUUUACCUCUAAAUUAUAUAAAAUGGAAUUAGUUUUACCUCCGUUAAUAUUUUGGAUUAAGUACAUUUUACCGUUGCUAAAAGUUCUUAUUUUUGAAGAAAGCUUAGAAUUCAGUAAUGCCGUACUCACUCCGUUUCUAUUUAUAUAUCACCAUUUUAUUAUUUAUGCCUUCAUAAGAAAUCAUAUAAGUUUAUCAUUGUAUUCUUAUUCAGUGGUCUUUUAAGUUUCACGCCUCAUAACAAACUAGUAUUCUUAUUUAGUGAUCUAGAAUUUAAGUUUUCAAUAAAUAAAUAUAAAUUAAUUUAUCUGAUUAAUUAAAUUAAUCAAUGAAUAUAAAUUAAUCAUUUAGGUUUCUUAUAUCGAUUAAAUUUAUAUUUUUAAGACUAAUAAAUAAAAUAGGAAAAAAUAAGAAGAACAAAACUAAUUUUUGAGCAUUUGACAUUUUUCUAUUUUUUCUGAGUAAUUGACGGUAAGAUAACAAGGAGGAGAAAAGGAAGAACAAAAAUAAUUGAAUACUCAAAAUUAAAUUAGGAAGGAGGAUUUUAAAUUUACUUUAGAUUUUGAAAGUACAUUUUACAGAACAUGUAGCCUGUCUUGAUUCCUGGUAAUAAAACCAUUGGUUUAUGAAGAAACCAGUGGUUCUAGUCCUCAGUUUCGUCUACAAAUAUUUUCCGAAUAAUAUAUUAUUUGUCUCAAUCAAUUAUGUAUAUUAGUGGAGUUAAAUUUUUUUACCCCUGUCUCAAUAUAUAUAACACUUUUCGAAUUUCGAGAUUCAAACAAGUCCAUUUUUUAUAGUAAAUUUCUCAUAUAUUUUUAAAUUAUUUUAAAUUGUCAAUUAUUGUGGAGUAUAACUUAUAGUUUAAAAAUAUAUAAAUUUCAUUUUAAAAAAUUGAAGAUUCCACGUGCAAAUUUUCAAUCAAAUUUAAAUUGUUUGAAUCUCGAAAAAUGAAAAGUGCCACAUAAAUUGAGACUGGGAAAGUAUUAGAAAGCCAAAAUAUAAAAAAUCAAAUACACAAAAAAUAAAAAAUAAAAAAAUAUUAUGCAUAUAUAUAAUAUUAUAUAUAUACUAUUAAUUAUAUUUAAUUUAUAAUUUAAUUUUUCACUAACAAGAUUCAGCUGAAAGAAUUUAAAAUAUAUGAAUCUCCAUGAAUUUUAAAUCUCAGCACAUUAGUAGAGGCUCAUUAUUCUAAAGUCUAUAAACUUUUACUUGGUAGUUGUGCAAUUUCAGCAGGAGAUCAAAUGAAUUUCUUAGGACCAGCCAGGUUCCAUCGAUUAUUCUAAAUAUGAAGUAUUUUCUUAAUUUUAAGAUAAUUAAGUACAGUAUUAUUUGAUAAAAAUUGAACAUAUAUAUAUAUAUAUAAUGUGUAAUUAAUUAAAUUAUUCUUAUGUAAUAAGUAUUUCUUUAAAAUCCAAUAUUAUUAAAAUAUAAAAAUAUAAUUAAAAAAUAUGUUAAUUUUUAUCGUGAAUUAUUUAAAUGACAUCUGUGAUAAAUAAAAAAUUGACUCUUUGUCUUUUUCUCAGUAAAAUUUGAAUACUGUCCUUUUUUUCAGGGGUAGAGUUGAGAAAAAAAAAAAAAAAAAAAAAAACAAAAACAAAAAAAAAACACUGGCUUUAGAGCCCACAGUCGCCGUAAAACCACUGGUUUAUCACUUUCUAGAUUCUUCCCCCUUUGCUUCUUUACAUCAGUACUGUGCCUAUAUAUUUAGCCCCAAUUUCUCUACAUCAUACAACUCAAAAACAUUCAAAUGUACAAGCAAUCAAAACAUCAUUGAAUCAAUUCAUAUAAUAUAUCAAAAACAAAGCAGGAAAAAAAAGUGAUUAAUUUUAUAAGGAAUUUAAUCAAAAUGAGUUCAAGCAGGAGAGCGUGGAUAGUAGCAGCCAGUGUUGGAGCAGUGGAAGCCUUAAAAGAUCAAGUUGGAUUGUGUAGAUGGGAUUAUCCAUUGAAGUGUUUGGCACAACACACAAAGAAUAACAUAAGAUCUUACUCUCAAGCUAAGAAACUUUCUUCUUCUCUGAUUGCAAAGAGUGAAAAGACAGAGCAAUCUGAAGAAUCUCUGAGAAAAGUUAUGUAUUUGAGCUGUUGGGGUCCAAAUUGAAGAUUUUAAUAGUGAUGAUAGGAGACAGUAUAAAAUGUAAAAUUAGGCUAUGAUUGUAAAUAGGACAUACUGUACUAGUUAAGGGCAUGCCAUUUCAAAGAUAAGCAUGUAUGUCGAAAUCUUCCAACCAUUGUAUGUGAAAAAACUCUAUGAAGAGAGUUGAUCUUUCGGUGAAUUCAGGCAUUAACGGAUCAACUAAUUACAUCUCUUCCAGCUAACAUGCUUAAUUACAAGUAUGCUGUAAUACUAAUGAAUAUGCAUAUGGUUUUGAAAUUUGAAGUUCUUAAAUAAUCAUUAAGCAAAUCAAGUACUCUCUUCUUUCUCUAAUUAUUUGUUUAAUUUUUCUUUUCAUUUCUCUAUUUUGACAAAUCAAUAAAGUACCAUUUUUUUUUUUUACCUAUUAUAAUAAUAUUUCAAUUAAAUUAGGGAGUUGGAAGAAAAAGUAAAAUUAUAAUUGUAGAGGCAGAAGGCAAUUUUAUGGUGUUUGAGGGACAAGUAUGAGGUGGCAUACAAAAGUUUUUAUGGUGUUUGAGGGACAAGUAUGAGGUGGCAUACAAAAGUUUUUAUGGUGUUUGAGGGACAAGUAUGAGGUGGCAUACAAAAGUUUUUAUGGUGUUUGAGGGACAAGUAUGAGGUGGCAUACAAAAGUUUUUAUGGUGUUUGAGGGACAAGUAUGAGGUGGCAUACAAAAGUUUUUAUGGUGUUUGAGGGACAAGUAUGAGGUGGCAUACAAAAGUUUUUAUGGUGUUUGAGGGACAAGUAUGAGGUGGCAUACAAAAGUUGUGUGAGCCUCCUUUCAUAAUUUGACAAGCAGAUAAUUGGGUCCCAUUUUCAAAAAAAUGGGUCAAAGUUCCUUCUCUCUUACUUUUUUAACUUUUUCCCAUUAUUUUAACUUUUCCACUUUUUAUUUUGUUUUAACCAUUAUUUCAAAUUUUGUUAUUUUCCUUAUGUUUAAAUAAUUUUUAAAGUAUAAAAUUUAGUCUAAUUCAUCAUACUCCUAACAUUUGGUAUUAUUUUUCUAUCCUAUAUUAGUUAUAUAAAUUACUAAAAAUAGUUAUUAAAAUUAUUUAUCGAUUAACAAAAUUAAACUGUCAUUUUUUUAUUUUCAUUACCCUAGCAAUUAUUGUUUUUUAAAGUAUAAACAAAAUUUGUAAAGUUAUAAAAAAACAAAUAUCUUAAAGAGUAACUUAGUAAAUUAUCAUUUUUUAAAGAACAUGUAAAAAAAAAGUAAAAUAACUAAUACAAAAGGAGUAUAAAAUCAUUUUUUUUCUCGUUCAAUAGUUUCAUAAUUUUCUAAUUUCGUAAACACUUAAAUGUAUCCAAUAUUCUCCAACAAGAAAUAUAACAGAAAGACCAUCCGUAAUCUUCACAAAUAAUUACAUAAGUUUUGUUUCUAUUUUCAUGUAAUCGAAAAUCAUCCAUAAACUCCUACAUACAUACAUACUCUCUCAAUUUAUAUGAUACUCUAUAUGUUAUUCUUGAAAUUCAAGCUAUGUGAAAUUUAAUUGAUAUUUUUAAUUUUUUAUUAUUAUUAUUAUAUUAACAUGAUAAGAAUUGCAAUUUAUAGUGUUUGUUAAAAAAUAUAACCUUCUCACUAAGUUGCAAUUCAACCUAAAAAUAUUAUUAGUUGCAAUUCUUGUCAUGUUAAUAUAAUAAAAAAUAUUUUAUAGCUUGAAUUUCAAGAACAAAAAAUAAUAAAUUAAUUAGAGAAAGUAAAAUGAAAAAAAUAAUUAAUUAUAUUUUGAUUUUGUUGAUUUACAAGUAAUUUUAAAUAACUAUUUAUUUUUGUCAUAAAAAUAAUACAAUUGAUUUGUAUGAGGUUAAUAGCACAAAUCAUAAUUUAACAUUUUUUUAAAUACGUAAUUAUUUGACUUUAAAUCUAAAUUAAUAUUAAUAUAUUUAUCUCUAUUUGAUUUAUAACAAAUGAACAUUAUGAAUUAUCAAAACAAUAAAGAAAAUAAAAUACUAAUUUUAGGACAUUACUAUUUUUAUAUUGGAGAAAUAAUGCGCAAAAGAGAUAAUAAAUUACUAAUUUUAGGAUAUUAUUAUUUUUAUUGUGUAAGAAAUAUAUUUAAAAUUUAAAAUUAUAUUUCUUAUUAAAAUAUUACGUAAAUUUUAAGGAUAGUUUGGUUUAUUAUUAUCCAUCAUAUACGCUUUACAUAAUCAAGAGAAAAAAUAAAUCAAGCUGAAAUAAUCUUUGAUUCUGACUAGGUUAAGCUGAUCGAGUUAAAAUAUAAUCGAAUCAAGUUAAGUCGAACCUAAAUAAGUUUAAAAAGUUAUAUUUGUACACACUACAACGUUAGAUUAUUUUUUUACCUAGUGAGUAUCACAUGAGUCAAAAAUAUAAAAAGACAUGUUAACAGUGAGAUUCGAACUCAAACUCAACAACACUAACACUCUGUUUGGAUCAUUGUUACCCAUUGUAUUGUAUUGUAUUGUUACUAUACCUACAAUGUUUGUUUUGAUUGUUACUUAAAAUGUAUUGUAUUGUUAAAUUUCGUUGUUAUGUAACAAUGAAAACCUCUAAUUUAUGGAACAACCGAUUUGGUGCGUUCCCAUUGUUACUUAAUUUCUUUUUCAAUUAUAUCUUUACAUAAUAUUUCAAAAUACUAUUUUAUCCUUUACCUUAUAUUACUUAAUUAUAGUCAAACCUCCUACCCUAGAAUAAUUAAGAAUAUUUUAGUAAAUUUAUAAAUUACAAUACAAUCAAACCAAACAAUUAAAAUGUUAUUAAACAACAACAAACAAUACAGUCUAGCCAAACAUUGUAUCUAUCAUACAAUACAGUACAAUACAAUACAUUAUGAAACAAUAGGUAACAAUGAUCCAAACAGAGUGUAAAAGAACCUUAAACACCCACCCAAGAGCAAAUGGACCAACCAAAUCAUUUAUUCAUUGGGUGCUCUAUGCUAAUUUUAUACAAAUAUCUCUUAAGUUCAACAUAGAUAUAUAUUCGGAGACGAGGAUAAUGGGUGCCGAGCACCCGGCGGACUCCAUGUGGGUCCCCCUGGGCCAGACAGCCAGUGGGUUUUCAUUUAUCUACCCAAUCCGUGUGCAUCCAUCUCAAGUACUCAUUGUUUUAUGUAUGCAAUGUACAUUCUUAUCCACAUGACUCUGUAACUGAAAUUUUGGAAAACCAUGUGAAUUGAGAUAAAAACCAUUAAUUUUAUUGAGACGCAUUUAUUUAUAAAUUCAAAAGCAUCAAAUCGCUGAGAAUUCAACCAACACAAUAUCGAAAGCAAAUUAAACCUUUCACAAACUUGUAUUAGAAAGAUGAGUUCAACAAGCAGGGCCUGGGUUGCAGCAGUAAGCGUGGGAGUAGUAGAGACACUAAAAGAUCAAGGAAUGUGUAGGUGGAAUUACACAAUCAGAGCCAUAAAUCAGCACGCAAAGAACAAUCUACGCUCAUAUUUACAGGCCAAAAUAAUGUCUUCUCAAUCUUCUUCUUCUUCUUUGGUUUCUGCUAACAGUAAAAUGAAGCAAUCUGAAGAGUCUCUGAGGAAAGUCAUGUAUUUGAGCUGUUGGGGUCCAUAUUGAUCAAUCAUAAUAGCAGUUAUAUCUAAUUAUUGCUGUCAUGUACAGUUUUUGACAAUAUUGUAAAUGAUUUUGAGAGCUUGGCCUAAAUUGCUCAAUCAAUGGAAAAGAAAUUUCUGCAAUCCCAAAUAUCUGGAAAUUAUCCUCAAUUCUAGUGGUUUUCAUUUGGUUUCGUGUUAUUUGACUUGUGUAAUUCUUUUUUAUAUUUUUCAAUUUUGUUAAUAUAUGGUUUUAUAUUAAGCCAAUCACAUAGAUUAAUAUGCUUUGCUUUGAAUAUUAUGGAGAAUCUGAUAUUGAUCAUCCAAAAAUAUAUACAUUUGAGAAGAGUUAUGUCAUGCCUCUCAUUCCCUAAAGAAAAUUGAACAUAGGGUAGGUAAUUAGGAUUUCUAGUGUACAAAUUACUACUCUCUUUGCCUCAAUUUAUAUGACUUACUUUUCUUUUUAGUCCGUCAAAAAAAGAAUGAUACAUUUUUAUAUUAAGUACUAAUUUAACUUUAAAAUAUUUAUUUUAUCCUUAAUAAAAUGAUUUAUUACCACACAAAUUUUAUCAUUCAUUUAAGACGCAAAUUUUAUAAUGGUACGAGUACUAAAUUAAGAUGACUCUUCCUAAUAAAUUUGUUCCUAUCCAAAGUAAAUAAGGGAUGUGCGGGCCUAAUUUAUUCGUGAGUCCAAAAACAUAUUAUACUAUUAUUUUCAUUGUUUUGUACACUUUUAAGUCGGUCCUAGAUCCUAUGUCCACAUAAUUUUCAAACUUAAGUAUUAGGGGUGUGAUAGUUGACCUUUGACCGGCCACUGACCUGCUUUCGAUUACUGAAAAAUAAAUUUAUUUUGAAUUAUCUUUGGUUAGAAUUAAAAGAAAAUUAAACUAACUGAAGGUGAUCAGAUUUCAGAAUAUACACAUUUCAAAGGUAGCAUUAAUCCAUCUGAAUUCCAAAUACCUUAACCAUACUCUAUUGACAAAUCAUUUAGCUAUUAAUUAUGACAAGCUAGUUAAAAGAGUUUGCGGGUUUACAGUUUUAACAAGAUGAAGGCCUAAAUUUUCUUUUUUGGAACUGAGUUUCUGUCAUUAUCGAAUUCAUAAUUUUACAUUGCAUGUAAGUUGGAGUCGAGCAAACAAUAGUGAGUGACUUACCAUACCAUAUAAAUCGAAACCAAAUGAAAAAUAUUGAAUCAUAUCGAUUAAUUCAGUAUGAUAAUAAUAUAGUAUUUCGAGAUCAUAAUUUUACAUUACAUAUAAAUAAAUCAUAAUUACUAACUUACAAUACUGUAUAAAUCAAAAUGAAAGCUACCAGAUUACAUAUAUAUCGAAUAAAUGCAAUAUCAUAAUAGUAAAUAAUAUUUUUAAGAAUUAAAACUCAAAAUUCUCUGAAUUUUUCUCAGUGUACCAUAUAGUACGAUGAAUACCCCUACUUUAAAGCACGUAGUUUGUGGGUCCGCCGUCCAUCUUACUGUAUUUAUUACGGCGUUACAUCAUUCUGCUCCUCUCAUAAUAAUCCAAAACAAGAUUGCAAAUUCAAUUUGCUACUUCAAUCAACCAUCCCCCCUCAAAUAGCUAUUAAUACUUGAAAUACCGACUAUACCCUCAAAAUUUUCAUCAUAAAAAAUUACGCGUAAGGGUAGAAAUUUACAUUCACAGACAAUCGUAACUGAAAUUUUAGAAAAACAUGCUCCGAAGCCACCAGAAUGAAAAAUUAUGCGAAGGAGCAAAAAUGUACAUCUACAACCACAAUAGUAACUGAAAUUAUAGAAAACCGUGCACCAAAGCCACAAGAUAUGCACAAGGGUAGAAAUGUACAUUCACAUAGUGGUGGAGCAAGAGUUUCGAUUAAGAGGUGUCAAUAUACAAUAUUCCACAACCCUCAAGUAUAUAUAUAUAUAUAUCGUGGCGGAGCCACCUUAUAGAACCCCCUCGGCGAAAAAUUAUAUUAUUUAUACAUGGUUUAAAUAAUUUUUUAGGUAUAUAUAGUAGAUGUCGAAUCCCCUUCUGCUACUUUAUGUGUCUAUUUUUUUAGAUUUUGAACCCUCUUAUUGAAAAUCUUGACUCCGCCACUAUAUAUAUAUAUAUUCAAAAUUACAUAGCUAUACAAUAUAAUUUUUUGACGAAGGGUAUCUGUCAACACCCCUCAAGUAUACUUGGCUCUACCGCUACAUCCACAACACAAUCGUAACUGAAAUUUUAGAAAAAACAUACUCCAAAGCCACAAGAAUAGCAGAAAUGUACAUAUUCCACAGCCACAAUCAUACUGAAAAACCAUGCUCCAAAGCCACAAGAAUGAAAAAUAAUGCACAAGGACAAAAAAGUACAUUCACAGCCACAAAUAUAACUGUAACUGAAAUUCUAGAAAACCAUGCUCAAGGCCGCAAGAAUUGAGAGCUAAAAGCCACUAGUUUUAUUGAGCCGCCACACUUACCUAUAUAUUGAGAAACAUCAGAUCCCUGAGCAUUCAACCAACAACCAACACAAUAUCCCAUUAGCAAAGAUUUUCAAGAAAUCAAAAAUUAAAUUUAGAAAAUGAGUUCAACAAGCAAGGCAUGGGUUGAGGCAGUGAAAGAACAAGGAGUGAGUAGGUGGAAUUGCACCAUCAAAACAAUAAAUCAGCAUGCAAAGAACAAUAUAAAGUCAUAUUCACAGGCCAAAAAAAUCUCUUCUCAAUCUUCUUCUAUGGUUUCUUCAAACAGUAAAGCAAAGCAGUCUGAAGAGUCACUUAGGAAAGUUAUGUACUUGACCUGUUGGGGUCCAUAUUGAAUCUAAUAAUAGUGUUAUUUUUUGUAAUUCUAGUUUGAGGCCCAAUUGCUUAGAAAAUAAAUUAUUAAUGGAGAGAAAUAUUUGAGCAAUCCAGAUAUCUUGAAUCAGUUCUUUGAUGAAUCUUUGUGAUAAUUUGUUACUAAGAGACAUGUUGCUUUGCAUUCAUUUCGCUAAGCUAGCGUCUUAUCAUAGUUAUUGGAUCAGAUUUUGAAAAAUUAUUUUUGAAUAUCUAUUUGGUCAUAUUAAAAGAUGAUAUAGUAAAAUGAUUAUUCCUAACCCUUCUAUUUUUUAUUUCUUAAAAAGCGUGUCAAGUGAAUACUGAACAAGUAAGAAAAUAGACGAAGGGAGUUCAUCUUUGUAGUAUAGUUCGUUACAAUAACAUUUCACUAAAAUAUAGCUUAAUUUUCUCCAGACCUGAUUUUUCAUAUUAUAUUUUACUUCUCUAUGACAACAUUCAACCUUGUAAAAAUACCAUUCUAUAGCAACCAUAUUCAAAUAUCGUGCAAUAAUAUUUUCCAAGAAAUAUAUUAUAUAUAAAAAUAAAAUUUUAAAAUAUUUAUGAUAUCAUUAUAUUAAUGUGAUGCACAUAGUAAAUUUUAAGUACGAAUAUCUAACAAGAAAAAAUGUAUUUAACUGGUACCCAUCAAUUAUAAUCAUAAUUUCACGAGAAAAAAAAAUUGGUGUAUGCUUUUUUACAUUCAUACACUUUCUACUUGGUUAAAUUAGUUAGCAGAUACAUAUAUCAUACAUGACUUUUUUUGAUACACAAUUAAUUAAUUAUUAAUUAAUUCUGUGUACUUUUAUUUAUAACUGUUAAAUAAGAUCAAAGCGUCAUCUAACAACACUUCACUAUAACCAUUAUGAUGUUUUCAGACCAACACUGCAAUAGAUUUUAUUGUAGUGUGUUUUUCUUUGGACUUUGAUGCAAAUAUUUGUUGGUAUGUUCGGCAAUGCAUAUGAAAAGUUGUAAUUUUUAGAAGAAAAAAUGGUUAAUUGCCCUUUCAAAAAUCAGACUAAUAGAAUUAAGAAGAACUUUCACAUAUAGCCACUCAAAAAUAGCAUAAUUAUUCUCCAUAUCUAUAGUUUGAUAAUUACAAUUUAUAGGUACAUGUCAUAGGGAGGAGAGAGGUGAGCGAGACUGGGAGAGAGAGGAGAGAGGAGAGAGGCGAGCAAGAGAGGGCAAAGAGUGGGAGAGAGGUGAAUUGUAUAUGUAUAUCGGUUAGAUAAUUAUAUAUUAUACAUAUGUAUUUGUAUAUAUGGCAAGCGAGAUUGGGAGAGGGAGGAGAGAGGCGAACGAGAUUGAGAGAGGGCAUAGAGUAGGAGAGAGGUGAAUUGUAUAUGUGUAUUGGUUAGAUAAUUGUAUAUUAUACAUAUGCAUUUGUAUAUAUGACAAGCGAGAUUGGGAGAGGGAGGAGAGAGGUGAGCGAGAGAGGGCAGAGAGUGGGAGAGAGGUGAAUUGUAUAUGUAUAUCGGUUAGACAAUUGUAUAUUAUACAUAUGUAUUUGUAUAUUCUGGCGAAUUAUACAUAUACAAACGUGGCUAAUUGUACAAACUCGAAGUCAGCCCACGAAAUUAAUGUAUAAUGUAGUCGUGAGUGGUAAUUAUAGCAAACUAUAGCUAUAAUGAGUAAUUAAGUAGUAUAAAUUUGCUUAACCGCGUAAUUUUCCCUAGAAUUAAAUCAAUUAAAUUAUAGAAAUGCAAUUCACAAAGGAAAAAUUGUAUAUAAUAGCAAACUAUUAAUUCAAAUUAAAUGAUAUAUUACAUAGUUUGAUUUAAUUGUACCCCAUAGCAAACUGUUGCUAUUUUGCCUCUCUCCUGGUGAAUCUCGCUCGCCACUCUCGUUCUCUCCCUCGCCUCUCUUGCUUUUAUACAAACGCAAAUGUAUAGAAUGCGUUUGUGUUUGUAUAAAGCGAGAGAAAAUUGUAUAUAUACAUAUAUUUUCGUUCCCCUCUCUCCCCUCUUCCGGAUCUCGCUCGCCACUCUCCCAGAUCUCGCUCGCCUCUCUCGCUUAUACAAACAGAAAUGUAUAAAUUAUGUUUCUGUUUGUAUAAAGCGAGAGAAAAUUGUAUAUACACAUGUAAAUACAUAUAUUUUCGUCCUAUACACUUAUAAUUAUUACAAUACAAACAUUUCCUGCCCAGUUCCCUUUUGCCUUUCUCUCUUUUAUACAAACACAAAUUAUACAAUUGAUCUUUUGUAUAUGUAUACGGAAACAGAAACAGAUUAUAUACAACUGCUUUCUUUUGUAUAUAUAUAGCGAAAUAUACAUAUUUAUGUUUGCUAUGGAGCGCAAUUAUGCAAACUAUAGUUAUAGCAUACAAAUAUGAUUUUUGUGUCUGCUAUAUGUGAAAAUUGCUCAUUCACAAAUCUACAAAUUGUGUAAAUGUUGAAAUUGGGCCUCUAAACAUAUUAUACUUUUGUGAUUUACUCCGUGAGGACACAUUUAAUUCGGUGCCCCGCUAACAUAACAAAUUUAUAUUUUAUCAUCUUCUUCUUACAAUAAACUCAGUUUGGCCAUAAGUUUGAAAAAUUGCCGCAGUUCCUGAUUAGAAUAUUUGGCUAUCACCGUAACUUAUUAGUAAGGCAAGUUUUUAAAUAAUUAGAGGCAUAUCCAGGAUUUUGAAAUGAUGGGUGCACUAUUACGAAAAGAUGGAUCUAAGAUAUAAAUUUGAUCGGUUUAACAUUUUUAGGUUUGUAUCACUAAAAAUAAUUAAAAUUUUAAAAUUAUAGGUCCAAAAUUAUUUUUACCUAUCCAAAUCACUUAGAGAGGUGUUACCCAACUUUAGAAAGGAAAACAAAACGAGAUAAAUAAAAGUUCAAAUUUCUAACCUCACUUAAAGAAGUGUAUUGAAGAAGGUAUUACAUAGGACCUACAUGUAAUUAGUAAGAGUUUGUAUGUAAUUAAUAGAAGUUAGAGGGUUUGUUAGUAAAAAGUCGGUUAGAUUAGUUACAAUAAGAUUCCUACUUAGUUUGUAUAAAUGUAGCACAUUACUGAUUCAUUUGUUUUUCACUUAAGCAAUGAAGUUCAUUUCUCAUUCUCUCUAAUUCUUCUUCUUUACGUCUAGAACAUUCCUAAUCAAAGGGAACUGUUCUUCAAGAUAUCUUCUUCAAGAUAUCUAACAUGGUAUCAGAGCAGAUCGAUUACUGUUGUAACUGCUUUCUGAUCUAAACACACACUGAUUGUACUGCUCAUCUGGCUGGUGAAGCUAUGGCGAAUGUGGACAAUGAGUUACCUGAGAAGUUAAGUCACAAUCAUCCUCUAUUGUUACAUACAAUUGACAAUUUUGGAGUAUCACUCAGCUCAAUUCAACUAAUCGGAGCUGAUAACUACUCUGUAUGGAGUUGCGCUAUGAAGAUUGCAAUUCUAGGGCGUAAUAAGUUGGGAUUCAUUGACGGUUCAUGUAAAAAGGAGGCUUAUGGUCCUAAUUUGACAAAUAUAUGGGAAAUGUGUAAUGCAAUUGUACUUUCAUGGAUUAUGAACUAUGUGUCGAAGGAAUUACUUGGAGGAAUUGUUUACUCCACAAAUGCAACUGUUGUGUGGAAGAAUCUCUAAGAACGAUAUGAUAAGGUUGAUGGAAGUCAUAUUUUUCAGCUUCAUAAAGAAAUUGCCACAAUUAGUCAAGGUACAAGUUCAAUUUCAGUCUAUUUUGCUCGAUUAAAUGAACUGUGUGUAGAUUUUGAUAGUUUAGCACCAGUUCCUGUCUGUGACUAUGCAAACUUGAGAGAAUUUGUUAUAUUUGUGCAUAAUCAGAAGUUAUUGCAAUUCCUUAUGGGUCUUAAUGAAUCAUAUGAACAAGCUAGAGGACAUAUCUUGAUGAUGAUACCAUUACCAUCUCUCAAUAAGACUUAUUCUAUGUUAAUUGAAAGAGAAAGUCAACGAAACAUUUCACAAUCAUCUGCUAGCUCGUCUGAGUUGAAUGCUUUGUUCACUAGUCGAAAUCCAACACAAUCAGUGCCUAGGUCAAGACCAUCACACACCUCUACCUAUGAUCCAAAUGCCUUUUGUGAUUACUGCAAACGCACAGGUCAUACUCAAGGUAUUUGUUAUCAGCUUCAUGGAUAUCCCCUUGGGUAUGAAAGGAAGAAGAAAGGACAAUUCUCUACUAACACUGGGAGGGGCAGACCUCCUAACGAAAGGAGAUAAUAUCCAGCUGCCAAUAAUGUGGUUAGUGAAUCUGAACACAACCAUAGAUCUGACCUUGAUCAAAACAGAGGUAUGAGUUCAGGGAAUCAUGGUGGAAGCCAAGGUUAUGGGAGAGGAAAUAGUCAGGUUGAUCAAACUGAUUACCAAAGAGGAAUGACUGUCUUACAUGAACAAUAUAACCAGAUUUUAACUAUGCUUGGACAGACUAAUGUACAUGAAGGCACUGACGGACUAUCUACAUCUCAUUCAUCUCAUUCAAGUGCAAAUUUAGCUCAGGAAUAUCCCACAGCAGGUACAACUACAGCACUUACAAGUCAUUCUACUCACACGGACUGGAUUAUAGAUUCAGGAACCACAAAUCACAUGACACCACAUGCUAAUAUGCUUGUUCAGAAACACACUCUUUCACCAAAUAAUCCUAGAACUGUACAAUUACUGGCACCACUACUCAUAUCACACACACUGGUUCAAGUAGUUUGACUAAACAUGAUACUCUCAAUAAUGUUCUCCUUAUUCCAGAGUUUAAGUUCAAUAUACUAUCUGUGUCAAAAAUGACUAAAGACCUGCAAUGUGUUGUGUCUUUCUUUCCUGACUUUGUUGUCAUUCAGGACCUCUCAAGUGGGCAGAUGAAGGUGAUUGGUAAGGAGCAUGCUGGGCUCUAUCAUAUCCCUUCUCAUACUUACUCCACAGACACACAAUGUCAGUCACAUCUAGCACACACUGCUGCUGCCCCUUCUUCAACAGACUCUCAGAUUCAAUUGUGGCAUCAAAUACUAGGACACACAUCAUCCAGUGUGUUAGCUCAUACUCUUGACUUUUCUACCAGUAAAUGUUCUCAAACUGUAUACACCUGCACCAUAUGCCCUUUAGCUAAGCAACAUAGACUUCAUUUUCCUCAUAGCACUUCUAUUUCUUCUAUUCCUUUUCAGUUUUUACAUAUAGAUGUUUGAGGUCCCUUCAACACUCCCACAUACGAUUGUAACAGAUUCUUUGUUACCAUAGUGGAUGAUUGUACUAGGAUGUUAUGGAUAUUUCUAAUAAAAUCUAAAAGUGAUGUUUGUGUUGUGUUGAAAAACUUCUUUACUUUGGUCAAAACUCAGUUUAACUUUGCUGUUAAGUCCAUUAGAACUGAUAAUGGGUAAGAGUUUGUCAAUACUGAGUGUCAUCAAUUGCUUACCAGUCUGGGUAUUAGUUAUCAAAAGACUUGUAUUCAUACUCCUCAACAUAAUGAGAUUGCUGAAAGGAAACACAAACACAUACUUGAAGUGGCAAGGGCAAUCAGGUUUCAGGGUCAUAUCCCAAUUAGAUUUUGGGGUCACUGCAUUCUCAGUGCUGCAUACAUUAUCAACAGGUUGUCUACACCUGUGUUAAAUGGGAAAUCACCCUAUGAGGUGUUUCACAAGAAGAAACCUUCUCUUUUACAUAUGCGAGUCUUAGAUUGCCUUUGUUAUGCCAAAACAUGUACAUCACUAAUAAAUUUCACCCUAGAAGUGUGAUUGGUAUUCAUAUGGGUUAUAGUGAUCUUACAAAGGGGUAUUUGCUGUAUAACCUGCGAGAUACGAAUUUCUUCCUCAACAGAGAUGUUGAAUUCAGAGAGUCUAUAUUCCAUUUUGUUGUGCUUACAUCUAGUUCCUGACAAUUGUUUCCCUCUACUCAUAUACCAUCUGAACAUGAUCGUAGUUAUGAUCCUGGUUCAGUGCCAAUAGAUGAAUCAAGUGUGUUAUCUGUGGUGCAUGUACUUGAAGUUCCUGCUCAGAGGAAGUCUCACAGGAUCAGCAGAGCUCCAUUAUGGCUUCAAGAUUAUGUUGCCUCUGUUCGACUCAGUCCUAUCAAGCCAUUAUACUCCAUUGAUCAGUACAUUGGCUAUGAUCAUUUAUCCAGCUCUUAUAAGUCCUUUCUUUCUUCCUUUGGGACUGAUGUUGAACUUACCACUUUUGAGGAAGCUUGCAAGGACUCUAGGUGGGUUGAGGCAAUGCAGGCUGAGAUAUAAGCCUUGGAGGAUCAUAAGACUUGGCGAGUGGUUUCCUUAACUUCUCACAAAAAGGCUAUUGGCUGCAAGUGGAUAUUCAAGAUUAAGUAUAAGGCUUCUGGAGAAGUUGAGAGAUUUAAUGUCAAACUAGUUGCCAAAGGGUUCAAUCAGAUGGAAGGUUUAGACUACCAUGAGACCUUUUCUCCAGUUGUGAAAAUGGUCGCUAUCAGGAGUGUGUUGGCUCUAGCUGCUUCUGAACACUGGAAUGUUCAUCAAAUAGAUGUCUCCAAUGCUUUUCUUCAGGGAGAUCUUUUUGAUGAAGUUUAUAUGACUCUGCCUCAGGGAUUUCAGCUUCCACAGGGAUUCAUUGUGCAUGGGGGAAAACCUGUAUGUAAGCUCAAUAAAUCCCUCUAUGGGUUGAAGCAGGCUCCUAGACAAUGGAAUGUACAACUCACUAAAGCUCUUAUCAAACUUGGUUUUGUUCAAAGUCUUUUGGACUACUCAUUGUUCAUUAAAAGGACUGGUACAUCACUAGUACUAAUUCUUGUAUAUGUGGAUGACAUGAUGAUUACUGGUAAUGAUCUUAAACUCAUUCAACACACCAAAAAGAUCCUUCAAGAUACCUUCAGGAUGAAGGAUUUAGGUGACCUCAGAUACUUUCUUGGGCUUGAAUUUGCAAGGUCACAAGCAGGUAUUGUUAUGCAUCACAGAAAGUACACAUUGGAAAUUAUUUCUGAAGCUGGCCUUGGAGCAGCAAAACCAGCUGCCACCCCUCUUGAUCCUUAUGUACAGUUGACAACUAGAGAAUAUGAUGAAAUAAAUGGAAAAGGUAAGAAUGAUAAACUACUUGAAAAUGCUACAAUAUAUAGAAGGUUAGUUGGCAAACUGUUAUAUCUAAAUGUCACAAGAUCAGGCAUUGCCUUUGCUACACAAACCUUGAGUCAGUUCCUUCACCAACCUAAGCAGUCUCAUCUUAAUGUUACACUCAAAGUUGUGAGAUACAUAAAAGGACAAGCUGUACUAGGUGUCCUGUUAUCUAGCAAGAGAAACAAUCAACUGAAUGUAUAUUGUGAUUCAGACUGGGGAGCAUGCCUACAUAUUAGAAGAUCAGUUUCUGGGUUUAUGGUGAAACUGGGAGAUUCACUAAUAUCCUGGAAGUCAAAGAAACAAGGAACAAUAUCUAGAAGUUCAGCUGAAGCAGAAUAUAGGAGCAUGGCAAGUGUUGUAGUUGAAGUUGUUUGGAUAGUGAGGUUAUUCAAAGAACUAGGUGCUGAUGUUCAAAUUCCUGUAACUAUUCACUGUGAUAGCAAGUCAGCAAUUCAAAUUGCAGCAAAUCCAGUUCUUCAUGAAAGAACAAAACAUAUUGAAUUGGAUUGCCAUUUCAUAAGGGAGAAAAUACAGCAAGGAUUAGUGGAAACAAAGUAUUUGAAUACUAAGGAGCAAGAAGCUGAUAUAUUAACUAAAGGUCUUGGGAAGUCUCAACAUGAAUACUUAAUGUCCAAGUUUGGUGUAUUAAAUCUGUUCAUACCUUCAAACUUGAGAGGGAGUAUUGAAGAAAGUAUUACAUAGGACCUACAUGUAAUUAGUAAGAGUUUGUAUGUAAUUAAUAGAAGUUAGAGGGUUAGUUAGUAAAGAGUCGGUUAGAUUAGUUACAACAAGAUUCCUACUUAGUUUGUAUAAAUGUAGCACAUUACUGAUUCAUUUGUUUUUCACUUAAGCAAUGAAGUUCAUUUCUCAUUCUCUCUAAUUCUUCUUCUUUACGUCUAGAACAUUCCUAAUCAAAGGGAACUGUUCUUCAAGAUAUCUUCUUCAAGAUAUCUAACAAAGUGCACCAAAUCAUAAUCGCACGGUAUGAUACUUCAAGUGUGGGUUCACAUAUCUAUAUUUAAAUAUUUUUAGAAAAAUAUAACAUUAUUAUAUAUGAUUUCAGGAGGGAGCAUGGGUUCACAUGAGUCCGGUGACCCAUCUUGGAUAUGCCUCUUAGUCUUUCCCAAUAUCUAAUAAGAAAUCAUGAACCUACCAAUAUUUUUAUCUAGAUUUCAGUGAAACGGUUAAAAUUUAGACGGCGACACUUCUAAUGAAUUAACACGUUAGAAUACAACCUACUUGGACUAAGGUCAUGUACUCAUUUUAGCUACCAAAACGGUCUAUUUGGAUGAACAUCAAGAGAGGACUCUUCCUUAAAUCUUUAAAUUUUUAUAGGUCCACAAUUUUUUUUUAAUAAGAAAUUUAGAAUAGUGUAAUUUGAGAUUGGUCAAAGAGUAGGGUCAAUUACAAAGAAGGCAAUAAUCAUUGAAACUAGGGCCAUUAGUGUUCAAACCUUCAACCAAGCAAUUAAAAAAAACAAAAUGAUUACAAAUACGAGUAAAAUCUAUAAUUGCUUCAAUAGAAGGAUUAAUUCGAAUAAUUAGAUUAUGCUAGUGGGGGGCAAUUGGUUGAUAUCGCCCAACUAUUCGACAAAUGGUAGGAAAAAGAAAAAGAUCAACAUAAAUUUAUACCAUCAAUCAAACACAAUAUAAAUUUAAUCUUAAACUUAAUUUUGAAUAUCUCAUCUUAUCCAUCAUAUUAACUUGAGAUUAUUUUAUCCUACCUUCUAAAUAGAAUAAUUUAGUUUAAAAAUUAUAAUCCCAAAAUAAUUUAAUCCACAUACCAAACGAUGCAGUACUAGAGGGCCACAUGGGAGUAUCAUCAAAUAACAAAUUGCCUAUGUUGUUCUCUUCAUUAGAUCCUAGAAUAUAUUCUGGCGUCUAGCAUAAAGUGCAUCACACCAAAUUAUGCCUUUCAAUGCAUGCUCAACUUUAAUUUGAAAACUUUACAUUUUUCCCCUUUUUAGCGCAAUUUAGUACAUUAAUUGGUUUGAAGCAAAUACUCGAUGUGAAUACAAGAUGUGUUAGAAUAUAAUUUUUGAGGUCUUUCUUUAUUAUUUAAUCCUUCUUAAUUUCAUUAUUAUUCAUUGUGAUGCACAAACACAAAUUAUUAUUUUGGUUGGUUUUUAAUUUAAGAUAAAAGCAGACAAUUUACUAAUGUUCGUUAAUUUAAUAUGUUAGCAGUAAACAAUUAUCUUUAUGUUAUUCUUAAUUGUCAACAUAAUUUAAUGACUUGCGUAACAUCAAUGCCAUGGGUGAUGGGUGCACUCAGAUCAAACAGACCUGAUCGUUAAGAGCUUAUCAAUGUUGCAAAUUGCAGAUAUUUGUUGAAAAUUAAUAAUAUGACCAUCAAACUUAUUGCUAUUUUUUUAAAAGAAAAUAAUAUUGAAUAUUUUAUCUUAGCAGAUUUAUGUCACGUGACUUAAAGAAACACUUGCAAGGAUUUUGUCGAAGUACUUUUCAUUGUAUCUGGAGAAAAAGAAGAUCGAAUGAAAUCAAAUCUAUAAAACGCACUAGUAAAGAGAAUACAUUAACAUAUAAGUUAAACGUACCAGUAACUCAUGCAUAUUACGCCACCAAUGAUAUGUUACGGUCACCGUGGAUGAGACUGUUUCUCUUUUAAUUAGAGGUCUCAAGUUUGAACCCUGAGUAUGGAAGAAUUCUUGGUAGGAAGCGGUAUCCCCCAAAUGAAGCCUUACCUGACAUAAAUCUGAAUUAGUCAAACUCCAAUAUAAAUAUUAAACAUCGAAUAAACAAAAAAAAACUCACGUAAAUCACUCUAUUCUCACUUGAGGAAAAAUGAAUAAAAAAUGUGAAAGGGAAAAGAGACAAAAAGAAAAACAGAAAGUGGGGAAACUCAAGAGAGAGGCAAAAAAUAAACAAGCAAUCACUAAUGAAAAUGGACGAAUGAGAAGAAGUUAAAAUACUCCCUUUAUUAUAAAAAUAAGUAUUCCUUCCGUUCAAAUUUAUAUGAGUUAGUUUAACUUAACAUGAAGUUUAAGAAAGAAAGAAAGAAUUUUUUUUGAAAUUUAUGCGGAUAAAAUAAGUUAUAUAUAUAUUUAUGUUGCUAAAAAUCAUUUCAUUGAGGUUAAAAUAAAUAUUUCAAAGUUACAUUAUUACAUAAUAUAAAAAUAUAUCAUUUUUUUUAGACGGACUAAAAAAAAUCCUAAAAAAUGAAACAAAGUGAGUAGUAUUUUUUUGUUUGGACGCAUCAUUCAUUCUUAAAAACUAAGAUAUAUUUUUAUUAUAACUAUAGCUCUUUCGUAGUUUCCUUAAUUUAUCUUUAUUAUUAUUAUCUUUUGGAUCAUGUAAAAUAUCAACAGCAAAUUGAAAAAUAAAUAAAAUUAAAAUAUUAUUUAUUUUGAAACACGAGAAAUAACAUAGUAGUAUAUAUUUACGAUACAACUUUUUAUUUGAACAGAGCCAAACCAACAGCAGCAAUAACUGUGUCACACUCCCCAUACACACAUUAUGACAACAACCCAUCAUUCCCACGCUAUGUAACUCGCAUCCUAUGCCUCCCCUCCCCACCCCCCANNNNNNNNNNNNNNNNNNNNNNNNNNNNNNNNNNNNNNNNNNNNNNNNNNNNNNNNNNNNNNNNNNNNNNNNNNNNNNNNNNNNNNNNNNNNNNNNNNNNNNNNNNNNNNNNNNNNNNNNNNNNNNNNNNNNNNNNNNNNNNNNNNNNNNNNNNNNNNNNNNNNNNNNNNNNNNNNNNNNNNNNNNNNNNNNNNNNNNNNNNNNNNNNNNNNNNNNNNNNNNNNNNNNNNNNNNNNNNNNNNNNNNNNNNNNNNNNNNNNNNNNNNNNNNNNNNNNNNNNNNNNNNNNNNNNNNNNNNNNNNNNNNNNNNNNNNNNNNNNNNNNNNNNNNNNNNNNNNNNNNNNNNNNNNNNNNNNNNNNNNNNNNNNNNNNNNNNNNNNNNNNNNNNNNNNNNNNNNNNNNNNNNNNNNNNNNNCACCACUCCCUAAAUUGCUCCUAAAAAUUGGCUAGUACUACUACUACCAGAAAACCAAAAAGUGCUCAACAGAGAAAGCACAACAAUGGCACUUGCUAAUGAAAAAUCUGUAUCUGAUGGCAAAAUUUGGGGUCUUUGUAAACUACCAUUUUGGCAUUCAACUAGUAGCUCUGUGGCUGCUUCUUCCUCUUCUAUUGCUUCUUCUUCUUCAUCUUUUAGGCAACACCAUAAUGGCAUUUCUGUGGAUCAUCACUCUAAUAUUCAUGCUCCUCUUAAGGUUUCUUCUGUAGCCAAAUCACUUCUUCCAACUCGUCGCAAGCUCAGCCUUGAUCCACAAAACAAGCUUUACUUUCCAUGUAUGUUCAUCACUUUUUGUUGAUUUUCUUACUUUUUUUGUCGAUAUACCCAUCUAAUUGUUUGUUAUGAAAUUAGAUCAUGCUACACAUUUUCAUAUGGCAUGAUUUGUUGAUUUCUUAUAACGUAGAUAAUUGAGUAAUUUUGUACUCCCACCGUUUCAGUUUAUGUGUGUUUUUUUUUUUUAAUUAAAAAAGGAUGUCUUUUUCUAUCUUUAGUAACUCUCUAAUGUUCAAGAUGACAAGAUUCAAAGGGCAUUUUUGGUAGUUACAGAUAUUUUUAGUUUAUGAUCAUGAGAUUCAAAAGUUCUCCACUUAUUUUCUUAAGCGGACGUUUGACCAUGUUUGAUUGUGAAAUUUGAAAAAAGAAAAAAAUUGAUUUCAAAAUGAAAAGUGAUGUUUGAAAAUUGGAGUUGUGUUUGACUGGUACAAAUAGGAAUUGUUUUCGACUUUUUGUGAGUAAUUUGGAGUGAAAAAAGUGAAAACACCUUAUGUUCGAACGUGGUUGAACUUCGGAAAAUAAGUGAAAAAAUUUGAUGCCUUCUAAGUUAAGUAACUAGUCAAACUAAGACACUGAAAUUGAAACUAAGGGAGUACUUUUUCUAUUGCAAUUUUUUGUCUUAAUUUGGAUUUAAUAGAAAGAAAGUUUCAUGCAUUACUUUUAUGUUUACUGUAAUGGAUUUAUUUAUUUCAUAGCUACUUCACCAGGAGUAUAAGUUUAUGAAAUGUAAUGGCCUAGUAUUAACUAAAUUGUUGUAAUUUUGUUCUGUUCUAUUAUAUUGGAUGAAACUUGACUAUUUUUAGUAGUAGUAAUAAUUCUUAUGUCUUAAGGUAUUUGUUUCUUUUCAUAUCUAUAUUUACUUAUUAUUGGAUUAUGCUUAUUCUGUUUUUUCCCUUUUGUAGAUGAGCCUGGUAAACAAGUCAAGAGUGCUAUUAGAAUCAAGAACAUUACCAAGAAUCAUGUGGCCUUCAAGGUACAUAAUUACUCUAGCCUCAAUUUUCUUGUUUUGGUGGUCCUAAUAGUUGAUAUUUUAUUUUUUGCUGAUGUGAAAUGUGCUUAGUACUUAAUACUCAUUAUGUCAAUUUCAUAAUCUCCAUGAUUAGUGCAACAAGUCACUUUAAUUCCUCACUAGGCCAACUUUUUCUGAGUUGGUUGAUAGUACUAAUGCUUUAAAGACAAUCUGUUUAAAAUUAGGCCUUCUUUUUUUGUUAAUUUAAGAGUAAUUCUGCAUGUUGAGGAUUAAAAGAUGAUGAAUUGUGGUUAGUGGGCAACACCAUUAUUAUGAGAUCUAUGGAUAGUGAAAUUGGAUCUCCCACAGCUAAUUUGUCUAUUUAUAAUAUAUUGUAUUAAAACAAGAUCAACCAUUUCUUAAUUAAUAUAAGUUAGUUGCUUUGAGCCAAAGGUUAUCGGAAACAACCUCUCUACAUUCACAGGGUCAAGGUAGGGGUAAGGCUGUGUACUCAUUGCCCUACCCAAACCCAACCUGUGGGAUUACACUGAGUUUGUUGUUGUUGUUAAUAGUUGCCUUAUUACAGAAAUUUUCUCCUUUUUUUUGUUACACUAAUAACUCUCAGUUCAAUUGCAUUUCUUCUUUUCCUGAGAAGACUCAUAUUUGCAAAAAAUUUUUUGGAUAAAGGUAACAACUUUUGUAUACGACAAACUUAAAUCUGCACAGAAUCAACAGCUCGCAGAAACCAUACUACAUGCAUAGCUUGUGUCCACUUCUCGUGUCCUCCACACAAAUCACACAAAUAACAUCAUUAACACAAAGGCAGUGUGGAAUGCCACAUUUACAAUUCAGAACACAAAAACAGUUGCCUUAUUCUUCUUAUUCUAUAACAUCUAAGAUUGAUUCUGAAUCAUCUAGAAUUCCUGUCUACACCAAAAGUGAAGUAACAGUAAACAGUUCAUCUUAAUCUUCUGAAUAGAGCUAAAUCUAUCCUCAAAGCAUCUCGUAUUUCUUUCCUUCUAAAUAAUCUACCUUAUAUAUGCAGUAAUAGUUUUCCACCUACUCUUCUGUCUGACAAUUCUGCCCGAGCUAUUCCAGAAUUCCAUUUAAUUCCUUCAUAUUCAAAAGAUGAUCCAUCACUUCACAAUGCAAAAUAAGAUGACUAUUGUUUUCCGUCUCCUUCCCACAUGAAUAACGUCUUGAGCAUAGCCGAGUCCCCUUGCUCUUCAAAUGAUCUCUGGUCAUUCGGCUUCUUUAGUGAUAAGCACCUUGUUAGAAACUUUACUUUCCAUAUUUGUUUCCAAGGCCAUAGAUUAACUUGUUCAUGACCAGCAUAAGAAGAUUUGACAGUGUAGUUGCCCUUUCUAUGCUUGUUUCAAGUUCUAUUUGUAAUAUUUAUCAGUAUACUGUUGGUAUUCAGACAUGUUCUCUAAUUUUACUUGAUUGUGCUAUCUCAGUUUCAAACAACUGGGCCAAAAAGUUGUUACAUGCGGCCGCCAGGAGGUGUUCUUGCUCCUGAUGAAAGCCUCAUUGCAACUGGUAACAUCUCCACUUGGCCUUUCAUGUCCUCCUGUGUGAAUUGUGAUGUUUAAUGAAAAUAGUUGCUUAUUGCUAUUUUACUGUGCUAACUCCAUGCUUAAUUAACAGUUUUCAAAUUCGUCGAGCCACCUGAUAAUAACGAGAAACAAGUUGGCAAGAAAAGCAGGGUUAAGUUCAAAGUCAUGAGCUUAAAAGUAAAAGACGAUGUGGAUUAUGUGCCGGAGCUGGUAAGUGCUAAAUAAUGGUUUGCCCCUCUAUGAGUGAACAGAUGUAUUCUCUCAUGAAUGUGAAUAACCUGCUCAAAUCCAAUCUUGACUUUUAGGAACUUUAUUUUUAUUCAUCGCUGUGAUUCAUAUAGCUUUUUUGGAGUAGAUAUCUGCAAUUUUCAUUAUUCUUCUUUUAUUUUUUAGCUGGACAGGAAACUGAGUAUCCUAUAUAUUUGAUCUAAUAAGUAGAAGUCCAAAAAAGAAGGAAAAUAAUAAAAAGAGAAUCAAUCAUAUGUGUGAUGGAAAUGUAGAAUCACUUAGAACAAUAUUUUGAAUAACAAACAGAUUGUGCCUUGAGCCAUCCAAUCCUUAAGUCCUUCGAUAAAAACCUGUUCAGGGUCAUACCGGAAGUGACACAUUUCUUGUUUACACUGUGAUUAGUUUCCUCUAAAGCUUACUUAGAAUAACAUCAAAUCAUUGAUCUUCUUUAUCUCCUAUCAGUACUUCUUACUUAACAACUCUUCUCCUUUUAAGGUACUUCCAUUUAACACGCGUCUUUUCUCAUUUCUUUUCCUUUUUCUUUUGAUGUUAAUGAAAACAUGCUAUAACUACAGUUUUCGUGCCACCAGGACUAUCCAGUAUAUAGAAUAAACUAGAAAGUAAACCGUCCACUAAUAAAGAGUAGUGGCCUCCCAUGAUGAUAUGAACUUCUGAUUCCUAAAAGAGUAUAUUACUUUCAUCUUAUUUUUGAAAAUAUAAAAUAUAUAUAUAUAUAUAUAUAUAUAUAUAUAUAUAUAUAGAUAAGGCACUGAAAUGUUGUUGUUGCCACUAUCUCCUUGUAGUUGAAUGCUGUUUAUGCUCUUUAAAAAUGUCACUGAGAGGUUGAGAGGAUUUGCCGUGGUCACCUCAAGACUCUGUUCAUGUGCACGUAUUGUGUGUCCUCUUUAGAUCAGUUCUUCAAAUCAACUCACCAGCGUACCAAUUAGUUUAAUAACUGGAUUUUAUGAUCUAUAUCAACGGAAGUUUGGUACGGAUUUAAAACAUGUCAUGUUUGCUACAGUGUAUAGAUAGAGAUGAGAGCACCUAUAUUCAUUGGUUACUAUGUGAACCGUUCCACAUGAAAAAUAGCCUAUCCUUGAAGGGAAAUCAGCCCCGGUUGCCUGUACUUUUAUACUUUUUUCAUUUUUUAAUGCAAUUUAUUUCUACAUCCUUUUGUGCACCCCUCUCCUUUAACUCGUUAAAGAAUUAGACCUUUGAACCUCCUAAUGCUUGCAUUCGUGCUAACGAUGAUUUGGAUCAGUUUGACGAAAGGAGGGAUGAAGUGGCAGUUGAACAAGUAUUAGGUGUUGUUUUCCUUGAUGCUGAACGCCCUUGCCCUGUAAGUAGGUUUUCUCUACCAAGUUUGCUCAUUAGUUGAAUCAGAUUUUUUCCGCAGUCUGUUUCAAUUAAUGUAAUUGUCUAAGGUUUAUGUGAAAAUGGCUCUAAGGAUUUCAUGGCUCAUUUUUCUUAGGCACUCGAGAAACUUAACCGCCAGCUAGCUGAAGCUGAGGCUGAGGUCGAGGCACGCAAAAGGCCUCCAGAAGAUACAGGUCCAAAGAUUGUCGGGGAAGGUCUUGUUAUAGACGAAUGGGUAAGUUGCCUUGCCACUACACUAAGUUCUUAUGUUCAAUGCUCAGACAUUAUGUUCCAAAUCAAAUGCAUAGUAGAAACUUCUCUUGUUGCCUUUUGACCUCUUAAAAUGCUAUUUUGAUUUACUACAACUCGAUUAAUAAAAUUAUAUAACGCGCCUCAUUCCAAACCACCAAGGAAAUGAUGAAAUAGCUACAAGUGGAGCCUAAAUUAAUAAAUUUUCUAUUGCAAUACAAGGCAAGAAUAUGGAGGUCAAGGCAUUGUCAUAGUAUUAGUUGUUUGUAGUAAUACAAGGCUAGAAGAUCCUCUUUUCAUCAUCAGAAACAACUUGAUCUCUAACCUCUUGCAUUGCAUUACCAUAAUGAAAAAAGAAAACACUUUAGUAACAUAAACCAGGAACUUUAGUAAAACUAUUCAGUUUCGCGCUUUGAAUCAUGUAAAAGUAUCAAAAUCAAUUGCCAAACAUGACUUCUGUUUGUACUGUUUCAGAAAGAAAGAAGGGAAAGGUAUCUCGCGAGGCAACAGGUUGAAGGAGUUGAUUCAGUAUAAUAGAAGCUCUCUUUUCUGUGGAUGGUUGAGAAGAAAUUCUAUGAUAAAGCUAUUGAAUUUUCAAUACUAUUGCCUGCAGAUUAACAGAUAUACUUAGGCUAUUUUUCUUCUCAAAAUGUGAAAUUAAUUUUUUCAUGUAAUUUUUCAAUCCUCUCUAUUCCUGGAUCCUUGUCUUUCAACUCUUGCUUGUAUGUAUAUAAGAGAAAAUUGUGAAGUCCCUUCCUUAAUUGAUGAACAAUCACAUACAUUAUGUUGCUUUCUUGAUUGAUUCUUUGGUUUUGUUGCACUCUACAAACUUGUUAUUUAGUUUUAUGUACUUUUUAUGAGAUAUUUUUAUUUUUACAUAUAAGAGAUCGGCAUUUUUAUACAUAAGAUUUGAAAAUGGAAUUUUCUUCUAUUAAAUUUGGAAGUGGUCAUAAGAAAUCAUUUCCUCUAUUUUUGUGUGUGAGAGGUUAAAGUAAUUUCCGUAGUUAUGAAUUAUGAUGAUGGUAUAUAACGAGGAUUACAAAACAAAAUAAAAAAAAAUAUUAGUAUUACAUAUAGUUUCAUAAUGUAUUGUAUUGUAUCAUAAAUAUAAGGUUGCUAUGAUCAAUCACAAUUCUCCUCUGCAGGAUGCUCUUACAGUUGUACUAACAUAAUUUACUCUUGUACAUGGACAUCAAAAUUUAACUUCCACUGGAGUUUAUUUUUCUUUUUUGGGAAAGGAGCCUGAUAUAUUUUUUAACUUUGCCAUUUAGAACUGAUAUAUCCCUCGUUAUGAAAGUGGCUCAUAUAUAUUCUUACCGUUAUACAAAUGACUCACAUAUACCCUUACCAUUACAAAAGGAACUCACAUAUACCCUUCAUCUAACGGAACUGAAAGAAUAGUUUUAAAUUUAUUUUUUUGACUUUAAAUUUUAAAAAAUAAAUCAUGUAGGGAUAUAUAUAUGAUCCUUCUAGCAAAGUUCAAGAUAUAUUUUAAUCUUUUUCACAAAAUUAUUUUAGACUUCUUUGAUUAUCAUUAUUCGAGUUUCUUCUUCUUCUUUUUCUCUUUCAUUCUUUAGUGUAAAAAAAUAAUUUAAACUAACUUCUUCUUUUUUGCGGCUAUAUUGUAAUUUAGUUUUUGUAUUUAUAAAAAUAAAAAAUAAUAAAAAAUGGGGCAUCUAUAAUAAAUUUUACAAGAAAUUAGUGAAACAUAAAUAAAUUUGACCAUCAAAAUAAUAAAUUUAAAUUAGUCGUUGAAACAAAAAAGUCAAAAAAAAUAUGUGUGGGGUAUAAUCCAUAUACCCAUGUAGAUUUAUUUUUUUUCAAAAGAAUAAUUAAAAAAUUAAAUUAAAAUUAUUUUUUUCACUUCCGUUGGAGGAAAAGGUAUAUGUGAGCCAUUUGUAUAACAUUAGGGGUAUAUGUGAACCACUUUCGUAACGAGAGAUUUAUCAAAUCUAAAUGACAAAAUUGAGGGGUAUAAUCAUCCCAACUAAUCCAACUAAUUUAGAUUUUAUUGAGUAGGGCCUAUUAAAAGAUAAAAUACUUUUUACUAUGACUAUUUUAAUUCAAGACUCGAACUCGAGGUGCAUCCCACCACAUUUCUAAGUGAUAUGUAACUCUCAUCAAUUAUUAUUCUCUUAAAUUUAUUAAAGUUGAAGUGAAGGUAAUGAUAGAAAAAUUACUUUGAAGAUGCCUUUUAGGAUAAAGUGCGUGCCUUUUUAGGGUGUCCAGCUUCGCAAUUUUUUAUUUUUCUAUUUUUGAAAAAAGGAGAUAAUUUGGGACUCUUUGGUGAUUAAUUAUUAGGGAAAUUAUGCGGAUAAGUAAACAUAUACUACUAAUUAAUUAGCUAACAUAUCUACAGUUUGAACUAAUUGCGACUCGCAGCUUAAUUUUAGUUGUAAUUACGUAGCCUCUCUCCUCUUUUAUACAUAUACAAAUAUAAAUUAUACAUAUAUAUAUAUAUAUAUAUAUAUAUAAUUAUAUGACAGAUAUACAAAUACAACUAGUCCCUCUCCACUCUCUGUCCUCUUUCGCUCGCCUCUCUCCUCCCUCUCCCAAUCUCGCUCGCCAGAUAUACAAAUACAUAUGUAUACCAGUUACAUAUAUACAAUUAUCUGACAAAUAUACAUAUACAGUUCGCCUCUCCUCCCUCUCCAAAUCCCGCUCGCCAGAUAUACAAAUACAUAUGUAUACCAGUUACAUAUAUAUAAUUAUUUGACAGAUAUACAUAUACAAUCGACAUAUAUACAUGUACUGUUCGCCUCUCUCCUCCCUCUCCUAAUCUCGAUCGCCUAUCCUCCCUCUCCCAAUCUCGUUCGCCAGAUAUACAAAUACAUAUGCAUACCAGUUACAUUUAUACAAUUAUUUGACAGAUAUACAUAUACAAUUCGACAUAUAUACAUGUACAGUUCCCCUCUCUCCUCCCUCUCCCAAUAUCACCCGCCUCUCUCUUCCUCUAACAUAUAGCUAUGAAUCGUAAGUAGCAAAUUAUAGUUAUGGAGCAUAAUUAAAUUAUUUUUGAGCUAUGCGAAAAUUUCCCUUAAUUAUUUGACAUUAUUCUGUUCAUCAGAUUAUUGAUCUAGACAGCUGGAAAUUUGGUAGUUAACUAGUUUUAUACGCAUAAAAACAACAUAACAAGUGCAAGUUGCUUAUAUUAAAUGAUUAAUGAAUUGGCAAUAAUGGAGUUUAGGUUUAGGUGAAGAUAUGGUGGAAUACUUUAAACCAGUAUUAUAAUUCCUCAAAUCUUUUUUACUGUAUUAAAUUCAGAUUUCUCUAUCACAACUAAGUAUUAUAAUAUUAUGAACAACAAAAGAAGAGAGAUCUUAUCUUUUUAAUUAGUUACUCCUCCACAUAGUAUAAGUGAUUAAUCUACUUUGAUUAUAUCUAAUAUUUUAAUCAUAAUUUUUUUUUCUUUUUCUCUUUUUUACUUCUUAAAUCAUGUUCUGAAAAUUAAGAAUCUAUUCGAAAUAAUUUUUUAUCUAAUAAAAAUAGAGAUAAGGUCUGCGUACACUUUAUCCUUUUCAGAUUUCGCUUAGAAUUUAUUGUUGUAUAUAGUAUGAGUGAUUCUAUUUUGUCUCAGGUAUUUUCUAAGGACUAGUUGAAGUCGACAGGUGAACCUUAUAGUAUUAAGUUCAUAUUAUAUGAUAUUAGGGGAUUUUUAGUUCUUUCUUUUUUCAAAGUUAAGUAGUACUUAGUUCUUUAGUUAAUGUUCAUGAAAAGGACAGUGAGACUAAAAUUUAAAAGUGCAAAAGGCAAAGAGGAUUAAGAAAAACACAAGAAGGUUCACAAAAGCAAUAACACUUCAUUUUGAUUUGAAGAUCAAAAGGCUAAAACAAAUAACAAUGAUUUCAUUUUUCUGAUAACUUUAUUUUUAAAUAAGGUCAUUCACAUAAUUUAAUUUAUAUUAGAACAUUAAGAGAUUCUAUAUUUGAUUCUCUUCAUUAACUAUUAGUAACAUAUUAUUUUUCAGAUUCUGCAUUCGAGUCUAUUCAUUAUCCAUUUAGCAAAUCAUUUUUGCAUGCUACUUUUUAGAUGAAACGGAUCUCAAAAAAAAAAUAAAAAAAUUACUAAACUCCAAAUACUGAAUUUAUAGCUUGUUUAGUCGAGUUCUAAAAUCAGUUUAUUUUGAAAAAUAAUUUUAAAGUACUUUUAGCGAUAAUUAAUUUGUGUUUGAGCAAUCAAUUUAAAAAUACUUUUGAACAAUAAUUAAAUUUUAUCAAGUUCUUUUCAAAGUGUUUCUAAGUGUAUUUUUUCAAUAGUGUACUUCAAAAAAUUGUUUUUGCGUUUUAUUUUAAACUUCUAAAAAAUAAUUUUUAUUGCUUCCCAGAAACACUUAUUUUCUCUCAAAAACUAAACGAAACACCUUACUAUUUUAUAAGUACUUUAAACUCUCAAACGUUUGGCCAAACCGGCUAACCUUGAGUUUCUAUUUUAAAUUUGUUUUGAGCUAAUUAACUUAAAAAUAUUUCUAUCAAUAUUAAAGCAUCAAUUUGUGUUUGACCAAAUUAAAGUUUCAAAAAUACUUUUUGGUUUAUUAUAUAUAUUACAACUCAAAAAAAAUUGUCAUCUUAAAGACAGGAUCAAACACAUCAGUUCUCUAAAACAAUUUCUUUUAAAAUAUAUUUUUUAACUCCCUAAAAACUUAUCCAACAUACCAUAAUCAUUAAAAUAUUUGACAAUUUAUAUAGCAUAAUUUUUUCCUAGAUUACACAUAUAUACAAUUCUAUUUUUGUUGGAAAAAAUGAAACACGAGAAUUAUGAGCAGCUUAUUAAAAACUUAAAAUAGAAACAUUCCUUCUCUUUCUUUCUUUUUUUGUUCCUUUCUUAUUUUUAGACAUGUAUAUAAGUGAAUUAGCGCAUCUGCUGAAUUAGAUAACUGAUCUUUGUAGCUAUCCAAGUCAAACAGUCAUUCGCACGCAGUCCAACUUUACUUGAAAAAAAAAGAUAAAAGGAAAAGAAAUGUUGGUAGCAACAAAAUAUUUCCUCCGUUUAUUUUUACUUAUCCAUCAUAUUAAAAAUAAUUAUCCAAUAAUAAUAAUUCAGUUUGGAAAAUUAAGGGAUAAUUUAUCUUUUUGUGUUUAUUUCCCCUUUGAUAUUAAAUGUUAUUCAAUGAGUAUCUAAUAUAUUUCCCAAAGUAUUAAAUUUAACAUAUUUAAAGUAUAAUAUAAUAUAUUAAAUUUAUUCUUAUUAUUUAUUAUUUUUUAAGAGGUGUAAGUUAAUAGUGGACAACUAUAUUGAAGAAGUACAUAUUAGAUCAUUAACCAUGACUCACCACGUGCGAAUACGUUUAUUUCGAUCAAAGAAGAAAAUUACUAAAUUAACAACACCCAAUUUAGCGUUUUCUUAAAAAUCAAUAUUAGAGCAUUAAUUUUGCGUUUAUAAAAAAAAUAAAAUAAAAAAAGAGGUUUUUUUCUUCGAUUUAUGCUAUAACUCAAAGAAAAAUUAUCACCCUAAAAACAUAAUCAAGUACAUCAAUUCUCUGAAUUUUAUUUUAUUUUUUUAAAAUAAAAUAUACCCUUGACUUCCUAAAAACUUGACUAACAGGUAGAGUUGUCAACAUGGGUCAGGUCCGUUAGGUCGGUCUGGCCUAAUCCGUGAUUUGAUAGUGUUGAACUAUGAUUUUUGGAUCCUAUUUAAGAAAGGGAAAAUUGUAUAUAAUAGCAAACUAUUAAUUCAAAUUAAAUGCUAUAAAUAUAGUUUGAUUUAAUUGUACUUCAUAGCAAAUUGUUGCUAUUUCACCUCUCUCCUGGUGAGUCUUGCUCGUUCUCUCCCUCGCCUCUCUUGUUUUUUAUACAAACGCAAGUGUAUAAAGUGCGUUUGUGUUUGUAUAAAGCGAGAGAAAAUUGUAUAUAUACAUAUAUUUUCGUUCCCCUCUCUCCCCUCUCCCAGAUCUCGCUCGCCACUCUCCCAGAUCUCGCUCUCUCACUCGCCUCUCUCACUUUAUACAAAAAACGCAAAUUGUAUAAAAUGCGUUUGUGUUUGUAUAAAGCGAGAGAAAAUUGUAUAUAUACAUAUAUUUUCGUUCCCCUCUCUCCCCUCUACCAAAUCUCGCUCACCACACUCCCAGAUCUCACUCUCUCACUCGUCUCUCCCACUUUAUACAAAAACGCAAAUGUAUAAAAUGCGUGAAAAUUGUAUAUAUACAUAUAUUUUCGUUCCCCUCUCCCAGAUCUCGCUCGCCACUCUCAUAAAUCUCGCUCGCUCACUCUCCUCUCUCACUUUAUACAAUUGAUCUUUUUGUAUAUGUAUACCAAAGCAGAUUAUACAACUGUUUUCUUUUGUAUAUGUACAGCGAAAUAUACAUAUUUAUGUUUGCUAUGGAACGCAAUUAUGCAAACUUUGCUAUAACAUACAAAUAUGAAUUUUAUAUUUGCUAUAUGUGAAAGUUGCUCUUUAAGAAAAGAGUUUUUUAGCCCAACCUGAAUAAGUCUGCCGAUUUGUGGGGCUUGAGAACUAUGGAUAGGGCGGCCUGUGGGCCAAAUAAAAAUUAAUUAAAAAAUAAAAAUAAAAGAGAUUAUUAAAAAUAACAAGAGUCUAAACUCAAAAUCUGUUUAAAAUUUGAAAUAUUACAAUUUAAAUACAAAUUAUGUUUAUAAAAAUUUCCUAAAAUUUCCAAGGAAUCACUACAUAGGCCAUAUCCUAUGAAAUAUUGUCAUAGUUUUUGUGUUUUAUUAUGAUAAUUGAAAAACAAUUCGAUUAAUAUUUCUAUUUAGCUAUUUAUGCUUUUACUUGAAAUCAAACUUAAUAAAUAUUAUAAAGAUAAUUUUAUUUGUGUAUUUGAUUAACAGUAGCAACACUAACAUCAUGUAAUAUUGUCUUGUCGAUAUAAAUGCUAAUAUUUUAAAAUUAUAAUUUAAUUAAAAAAAUUAUUAAAAAUAUAUACUUUUAAGAAAAGAGGGCUGACCUGACAAAGCAUGUAGCCCAUAUACUUAUAGGCUGGGCCAAUCAUUUUUUGGCCCACACAAAAAAUGGGCUAGCCCGACCUGACCCGUCAAAUUUCAAAGCUUAUAUAAAUUGGCCCGAAUGAAGUGGACCAGCCCAUAUUGACAGCUCUACUAAUAGGCAACAAAUUAUAACCAUCUAUAUAUAUUUGACAUUUUAUGUGUAGUAGGCUUUCUCGUACAUUUUGCAUUUCUCUUACCAAUUUGAUUAAAAUUCAAGCUGUGGACCGUGUACUCCUUUAAUUAAGCACAUUUGUUAUAUAAAAAUUGGAAAAUGGUCAAAAUUGCUCCUAAAUUCUGUGAAAUAGAUUAUUUAUACCCUUUAUUAUAUUUUGGGAUUAAAAUUGCCCAUGUCGCUAUCCUAAGAGACCACAAAUACCCUCAAGAGUUAACACCCCAAAUUUUUAUUGAUAUGGCAAGCCAUGUGGGAUUAAUCCUUCCACCUAAGCGUUGCCAACUAGGAUUCACUACAAAAGAACUAGACCUUUAGCGGCGACGACACUCGCCACAAAAGUCCAAAAUAUCGUCACUAAAGUUUUUUUAACAUUAAAUUCUGAUUUUGUGUUUUUUUUCUUCGUUGUUUCUAAAAAACCAAAAAUAAAAUCGAGUAAAGAGGAGUUUGAAGACACUGCAUGUUUUAUUUUUAUGUCAUAUGUAAAUGUAUAAAAUGUACAUUGAUGCAUUGUGUAGUAGGAGAUUUGAAUUGAGAAGUAAUUUGGAUGUUUUUAAUAUUGAUAGUGCAAGUUAUUUAUUUUAGAAAAUUAGGUUGCAACCGAAAAUUAAUUAUCAUAUUUUUUUGUUAAAAAAAUAGGUUUUACUAGCGAAUGGUUGUUGCAACAUUAGUCGCCACGAAAUCUCGAAAUAUUAUCACUAAACGUUAUGAGUGAUUUUUCGUAGCGACUUUGUCGCCGCUAAAAGUAAAGUUCUUUUGUAGUGAAUUCUAGUUGACAAUGCUUUGGUGGAGGGAUUAGUCCCAUGUGGCUUGCCAUAUCACUAAAAAUUUAGAUAGUUAACUCUUGAGGGUAUUUGUGAUUUUUUGGGAUAACCGCGGGGAUGUUUUUUAUCUCAAAAUAUAAUGAAGGGCAUAGGUGAUCUAUUUCACACUUUAGGGUUAUUUUUUUAUCCUUUUCCGUAUAAAAAUUAAGUACAAGGAUGGUGCCCUUUAACUUAGCUACUUAUAUUUAUAUUUUUCAAUUUUAAUAUAUCAUCCGUAGAUAUUUAAAUAUGUAUAAAAUUAAAUAAACAUACACAUUUAUUUUAUACGACAUAAUCACAUAAUAUAUAUAAAAUGUAUAUAUAUUCACUUAUUUAAUUUUAUACAAAUUUAAAGUAUUAAUUUACGUAAAUAUAUGCAAAGCAUAAAAACAAAAGGCGAGUCCAGGUCCAUCACGUGAUGGUCCAUAGGUGGACCACCAAGCCAAAAUUAGUGAUAGUGGAGGCCCACGGAUGGUCCCCACGUGUCCAUACUAUUUUGUCCAUUAUCUAAUUUUGGGUCCCACAAAUAGCUCUUUUAACCCAAAUGCUUUGUAUCAUUGCAUAACGACAGCACAGAUGGAAAUUUCCCCAUAAAUGGAUGGGACCCACUAUUGUUGUGUAGCAGAAUGAAUCUUGUGCACUAUUCAUUGGUGGAGUUAAGAUGAGUCAUUUAUCAAACUUCUGGAUAAGGUCGACAUCUGUCCCCUUCACUUCCUACUAAUAAGUGCCGAGAUUUUGUUAUCUCGUCAUACUUUGUACUCUCUCCAUCUCAUUUUAUAUGUCACAUUUUUACUUUACAUUUAUAUUAAAAAAUGAUGUAAUUUUACUUUUCUAUUCUUAUUUAAUUUUUUUGGAACUCAAGUUUUCAAUCAAUGAAUAUGAAUUAAUUUAACCAAUGAACAUAAAUCAUUUACUUAAUUUUUUAAAUUGGUCAAAUGUAUGUUUUCAAUGCUAAUAACUCACAAGGAUAAAAAGGAACAAUAUGCUAAUUUAUGCAUUGAUUUUAUAAAAUGACAAGUAUUAUGGACCAACUAUUUAUAAAAAGAGAUGACAUAUAAAAUGGGAUGGAGGGAGUACAUUCUAUCAUUUCGAAAUUCUCAAUUCACGGAGUGUAAUUUUAUACAUCUUCUUGGCUUGCGUGACCUCCAAAUAUCUGUUACGCGCUUAUCUAAGUGGAGUCAUGAAGUGUGUCAUAUAAAUAAAAAAAAUAUAAAAUUACAAAAAAUUAAAUUCAUAAAAUAAUAAAAUCUUAUUCUAGUUAGGAUGCGUUUCUGAAAUUUCGAUCAUAAUACUUAUGGCUGAUCCUUAAAAAGUAAGUAGGUUAUUCUUUGAAAUUGAGGAGUUUGGUGAUUAAUUUAGACUACAAAGAAUAUUAGAAGUAAAGGUAGACAUGUGACAAUACGGAUUGGAUAAGAAUUUAGUCCCACUUUUGUAUUAAGACUUGAUCUUAAAAGAUUUUUCAUGUUUACACUUCAAUAAAUUAAGCAAGCUAGUUAUAUAGCUUGUUUAGCAUAAGAUAAAGUAUUAGUAUCACAUAUAUAUAUAUAUAUAUAUAUAUAUUAAAUGUGUUCGAAUGUGAUUCAAAUAUUAAAAGGAUGGACGUCUAACAUGAAAAAAAAUAAAAUUUGAUGUGAAGUUUCAAUAUUUGAAUUCAAUAUUUUUUAAUCCAAUCUGUAUUAAAUAAGUUUAGAUUAAAUUAUUGAUUAAGUCAAUUUUGAGUUGAUUAUUUUGAAUCUUUGAUUUAAGCCUAUAUAUUGAGUGUUUUUUUUAGCAAAGGAUUAGGUGGGUUGAUAGGGUAGUAAAUGUUUGAUUAAUAGUCUAUUGAACUUAUUGGGCAUUAAUGUCUAACGGAUAUAGGAGUGGACAUAAAUAUCGAAAAAUUAAAAAAUCAAAUUAAACUAAUUCGGUUCUUUGGUUUUGAUUCUUUGAUUUUUUGAUUUUUCGAUUUGGUGUCGAUGUUAUUUUUUCAAAAGUUCGGUUCUUCGGUUCGGUGCAACUUGUAAGGGUCUUAGAAUUUAGGUGCACCGAAGAACCAAACUUUUAUAAAAAAAAAAUAAUUGCAUUCUCUUAACUAAAUAUGAAAAAUCAACUAACAAUUAAAUCAUUUAUAAACAAAUCAAAGUAACAACUAAUGUACAAUUCAAUAGUUAACUUCAAUUAUUAAUUCCCAAGAGAAAUCUAAAGAUAUUUUUAUCAAUGUACAUUACCCAUCUUUAUCCUUGUUUUUUUCGAAAAAUAGUUGGAGGCACAUUGUGAUUAGAAGCAGUUAACUGCUCCUAAUCAUUAUGCACUGGAUAAAGUAUCUUGACACUAUGACCGGCCUUCUUGGCCAUAGUGAUUAACUGCUCCUAAUCACUAAGAUAAGAGUUCAAGUCCAGUAACAUAAAAAAAAAAGUAAUGAUAUUUAUUAUAUUAUCCAUUAUAAAGAAAAAGGUAUAAUUUUGUACCAACAAUAAUCAUAAAUUAUCAAUAUGUUGGUGCAUCAAAUUCCAACGGAUGAAAUUUUAAUUAGACACUUCAAAAUUCACCUUUUUUACCUAAAUUAAUUAUAUUUAAUUUAAAAUUUAUCAUUCAGUAUCUUUUUUCCAGGAAAAUAAAUUAUUUUUGGAAGCUAUAAACCAGGUCCAAUUUGUAUGGAGAUAAGAUUGAGCAUUCUAAUCGUACAAUAGUCAGUAGCUUUCUUGAAGGGGACAAGUUAAUUUUUACACAUCAGUAUUUUCUUAUCUUCUUUUAUUUACCAAAAUAAGUAUAAGUAAUACUUCCUCCGUCCACUUUUAAUUGUCAUGAUUUCUAUUUUUAGAUUCAAACUAUAAAAACUUUGACUAAUAUUUUAAAAUGUAUUUUUUCAUCAUAUUGAUAUGCAAAAAAUUGCAAUUUAUAGUACUUUUCAUAUAGUUUUUGAAUAUCUAAAUUUUUUGCUUAAAAUAUCGAAUUAAUGUAAUCUAAUUUAACUUUGAAAAUUAGUCAAAUUGACUUUCGAAAAACGCAACAUAACAAAUAAAAGUGGACAGAGGGAGUAAUUAUAAAUAAACGAGAUGGUUUUCAUCUCGCGAGAAAAAAAGACAUAUCGUAAAGCGAAUAUGUCCAAACCUCGAUAACUUAGCCCAUCAAUCACCAGUAAUAUCAUAAAACCACUAUUUCUUCACAAGUUUCCUGUUUCUGGUUUUCCAAAACCACUCUUCCUUUUUUUGCCUAUAAAAAGGGCCUUCUCUUCUUUCAUUUCUCAUUGCUCACAAGCACUUUGAAGCUUCCUUGAAUCAUCAUCAGUAUAACUAAAUUCUUAUUUUUAACUUUAACUUAAAUUCAAGUUCAAAAUUAAUCAAUCAUGAGUUAUCUUAACCGCGUUUGGGUAGCCACAACCGUCGCCGUCGUAAACAGCCACGCCGAUCACGGCCAGAAAUUGAAAUCCGGCAUCCAAUCUCUAAACCACGGCAAAAAACGAUUCUCCUCUUCUGUCGCUUCCGGCGCCGACGUUGCCGGUCUCCGGCCGAUGUCCGGUAUGUUAGGAUCUGAUGUCGGCGGGUUCAUCGGAGGCGGAAAAGGCGAGGAGAAGAGGAAACAAACUGAUGAGUCACUCCGACAAGUUAUGUACCUAAGCUGCUGGGGACCAAGCUAAGGUAUGGUGGUAGAUCGGAAGUCUCCCGUUCGAUUUUAGGUGGCUAGAAGUCGCCGGCGACGGGAACGGGGAGUGAGUUGACCGAGUAGACUCGUAUCGGAGGGCGAAUGAACUGAAGUUAACUCGGCCGAUCCCGUUUGGCACUGAUUGCAGUUUUAAGACUCAGAACUACGACCACUAAUUGUAAAUUUUGUGUAUAUCCUAGUUGAACUAUUGUAAAGUUAACUACUUUUGAGCCUUUUGUCUCGCAUCAUAAUGGAAAAGGGAAAUAAAAAUGUUUACCAAACAAUAUUUUCUUCUUUUGCUUGGAAGAUUGGUACGGAAGGAGGUUUACUUUGAUAAUAGAUGGUUCAUAAAUUAUCAAGUUAAUACCAGAAUAAUUAAAUUUAUGUCAAAUUUUUAUUAAUAAUUAGUAGAUUUCUUAUUAAAGCUAUUAAAAUAGACCGUCUAGAUCUAUGGCGAUCGAUCGGAGCAGGACUUGAAUAAAUUUUCUGGUUAACUGGAAGCUCGAAAUGAGGGUCAAAGAAUUGAUCCAUUUCCUGUUCUUGGACUCAAGUACUACACAUGGCAAGUCUGUGAUCUUUUAUUCUCUGCCAAUAGUAAUAAUAAUAAUAAAAAAGUGCGAUCGCUUCACUACUAUAAAUAAAUAAAAAUUUAAAUAAAAUAAAAUGAUAUAGAAACAUGAAGGGUGAGACGACGAAGGGCAGUUUUGAAAAUAUGUCUGUAUUCAAGGGUAAGAUAAUAGUUGCAUCUUAGUGGAAUUAUAGAAGGAUGUGGACGUUUCAUUUUCCAUUCCUAAUGAGACACUAGCAAAAGUCUUUUCUCUUUACCCAAAAAAAAUAAUCUUCUUUUCAAGUUUUAUUUUUAGUAGUAAUCCAAGGUAUGAUUUUUCUUUCAAAAAUUCUGAAAGUUGUCUUCUUCAUGUUAAAGUUGUUCUUCAAGACCGUAUGAACAUGUUCCUCUUCAAAUUCAUUUUUUUUUCUUUGAGUUUUUUCUGGAUUCACACUGUAAUAGUAACCAAUAUCCAUAAAAAUGCCUACAUCAAUUUGCUAAAUUUUCUUAGGAUCUUGGCUUCUUUUUCCCAAUUACUUUGUAGUUUUAUUCUCAAAUAUAAUGAAGGGUGUGAAUUUGAUGAAAAUAUUUUGCGAAAUAAUAAAUGAACACACAUUUUCAUAAUCUUGGAGGUAAAAUGUAGUUAGAGGCUUAGAGCAGAGGGAUUAUUUCGAGUUCCAGGGAAGGUGAGUAGGCAGGCUUGUUUCAUAUAAAAAUCUCACCUGCACCAGUCAAAUCUUAUAUAAGGGCCUCUUUCAUCAAAAUCCUUUUCUAAAAAUCCUCAUUACCCUUCAGCAAAUUGGAGGUAUGUUUUUCUUUCAAAUAUCUAUAUGUUUGUUUUCCUUAAAAUCUUACAACAUGUCUAUAUUUGGUGAAUUUUCUCUGGUUUAUCAGCAUGCAAGUCUUCAAUUUCCUCUUCUACUCCAUUUAUAAAAAAUAAAAACAAAAAGAUUUCUGUUUCGCACUGUAUUAUAAACGAAUAUCCAUAAAAAUUACCCAAUUUUCUUUGUACCUAGAUUUUUAAUUUUCAUUUCUUUUGGAUCAAUGUUUAUUCUUUUUACUUUUUUAAAAAAUAGUUUGUUACCAAGUAUCAAUGGAGUCUGUGCAUUUGAUGAAAAUAUUCAUCAAUAGUAAUAAAUACUAAUUGCAAAAUUGAUAUUGAGGAUGAGAAGUGUAAGAGUUAAAAAUAAAUUAAAACGUUGUUAAGGGAUACUCAGAUCUAGAAUAAUCUUUUAAGGGUAUAAUUGUCAAUUGGUACAAUAUUUAAUUUAAUGGUACUUAUUCACAAAUUUCUCUCCACGUGGAGAAAUUUCAAAUACAAAUACAAAAAUAUAUAUAUCUCUCGAGAAAUUUCUACUUAUGCUUGAAAUAAACAAUUAGGUUUCACCUACUCCCAAAAACUUCUUCUUCCGGCGGUUCAUCUUCUGGUUUACCAUAUUGUUGAUUCUAACUUCGUCUGUUCUUCAGGUUCUUUCAAUUUCAGGUAACUUUUUUUUAUUCUUGUCUUAAGCUUGUUUGAUUUUCAUUAAAAACUUGUGGAGAUGUUGACAUGGUAUUAUUGACAAUAGUAGGAUCUGGAACAAAUUCUAUGAGUUUUUCCGGUUUCCUUUAUAUUUUUUUUCUGUUCAACUGACUGAUUAACAUCAUUCCAUGGCUUAACAAAAAGUAGCGCUCAUUAUAUGAAUCUCAUUAUUUUAAUCUAUGUGUUUGUAAUUACACACCUCACUUAUUUAAUAUUGAAACAUAGUUGUUAUUGGUUUGUUUAUGAACUUGAAUCAACUGAGUAUAUAUUUCGAUAGCCUCUACUCGCUUAUACUAUUAUAAAGACUUGGAUAAUUAGCUACUUUACUGAUUGUGUUGUUGCACGAAAAUACUUGAACAAGGGUGCUUGAAAGUAUAUGAAAUUGAUUCUAUUUUUUAAUCUAUAUUGAAAUCUGUACUUGUAUUUAAGAUGAGCAUUGUGUUUUGCGAUAUUUAAGUGCUACAACAUUGAUGAGUUGCAAAUAUAUUUAUUUUGUUCUCAUGGUUAUAGUUGGAAAUAGUUCAUCUUGAUCUUUUGUUCAGUUGAUCGUUUUGUAUUCUUCUAUUCAGCUUGUGUGUUUUUAGCUCUCUUUUGUUUAACAAUGGUUGUUUGAUUAUUCCAGAUUAUGUUCGUAUAACUCUUAUGAAAAAUGAAAAAUAAAUACUUCAUCUUACAAGGAAUUCUUCCUAUUAAAAUAAAACCUCACUUGUCAUGUAAAAGAUAAUGGAUCACUGUAACAGAAACUCCACGUUCUCGAAUUAGUGAAUGCACAACUCGGAAUCAUGACAGACACCCUAGACAUUCUCAUAUUCUACAAGUUUACUGUAAUAUAUAAACUACACCAUUCAACCAUAGUAAUGGUUAUGCAGAGUUAGUAAAAUUAAUAAUACAAUGUAGAAAGUCAACUUCUCCAGAUUCUCCCUACUUUCAGGACUACAAUAGAAUUCUAUAAUGGUAUUUAAUAUUUUAGUCCUUGUGAUAGUAAAUUGCUGAACUUUUUUUCAAAUGUGAUGUUCUGUUUCAAAUUUAGACUCGGUUGAGAUGUAGUUCAACAAAAAGCAAGAAAACCCAAAAAUGUAAUGCACAAUUUAUCUGUAGGACAGUUAUGAAGCGGACUUAAGCUACCACUAACUUCUCUUUUGUCAAUAUGAUUUCAAAAGAAGUUCUACUAUGUAGAAAAAAAUUGUGAAAUUUGAAGACUUUUAAGUAGUGGAGUUGCGGUGUCCAGUUCCGGUGUCUUAUAAGUUACUACCUCCACUCUUGAUAAAUAGUAUUAUUAUCCAUGGUUUCUGCUCCUUCACAGUGUCGCACAGAUGCACAAACUCCGUAGUUUGAUAAUUUUUUAAUGAAGAAUUGUAGGGAGCAGGAAGCCUGCCAACCAAUCACUGUUUUUUUUGUCCUAGCUGAGUUUUCCAACGACCAACAUCAACAUCACAUGAUCUUGUGGCAUUCUUAAUGCGGCACUUCACAGUAUGGCAAAGAGAGAAGCUUAUGAUAUUACUUAAGAGAAGGGGCGUAGCAGUUCUUCUUUCAAGCUCAAAAUAGGCCGUCUAUUGCUAUAUCUCCUUCCUGAUCCCCCCGGAAUCACGAAGGGAGUGAGAAGAUAUUCCAAUGGACACCCUUUCGAGAAAAAGGUAUUUUUGCCUUAAAAUGUAGUUGCGAGAGUUAGAGGUGGAACCCAUUGGACAAUCAUAUGUCUGCUAUUGUAGUUGUUAUCCGAUCUACAUGUUCAGUUAGUGCUACCACUAAUACGAACUAUAAUGCAGUUCUUGGCAAUUAUAAUUCUCUAACUUUUACACUUAGACUCUGCAAGUAUAUAGCUUCUUUGGUCCAAACUACCACAAUUAUUUUUUGUAUUGAUCCACGAUUGGAUGUAUGACCGUUAGGAUCCUCUGGGAAUUUACAUCCAGUUUUGAUAAAAAUGAAACAGAAAGCUGUAUUUUGUUAGAGAGAAAAAAUAGGAAACUGUAUCGAAGGAUGGUUGUACAAACCAGAUCAGAUUGACUGUCUGGACAAUUCUGAAAUAUAUAAAAUGAGAAUAGUUUUGAGGCCCCAAAAUGGUAUAGACUUCGAAGGGCUGAACUUUCUCAUCAUUUAGGUCCUCUCUUUGUUGUUAUAUUUUGUACUUCGACUUACUUCAUUUUUUUUUCCUUGUGGUAUAGAAAGGUGCAAAAAUUCCUUUAGUUGAUAUUGUAUCCUAUUAUCACCAGAAUAUUAAGAGAUCCAUCUUCAUUUGUGUACUCUUUCCUGAACAAAAAUGCAUCACAGGCUUAAGUUGUUAACUUAGAAGUUUAAUGAAUCAACCUUCGCUGAUAUGAGAAACUCAAAUCAUGCCAUCAUUAGUAAUAGGACAAUGUUUUUACCUUUAUAGAAUAUUUGAUGUCUUUUCUCCAGAGUAAACAUUUGUCUCUUUGUCUUGGCUUCAUUCACUUACAUUAAGUAACAAGAUUAUUGACCAAAAUUUUCAAUUUUCUAUCAUUUGACAUUGGCAGAUAUUGUUAAAACGUGAUGACAAUAUAACAUUCUACAGUUUUUUGUUAGGCCUUUCAUUAAGAGAAUAGUGUUACGGAGUACAUUGCCCUUUUCCUCUGCUCAAUCACUCCAAUUCUUAAUCACUACUGGAGUUUGAUAGCGUGAGAAUUGAUAUACUCUUAGCUCUCCUAAUAAUAGGAUUUAAUCAUUUGUAAUUUCAAAGCUUAAAAUCCAAAAGUAAGUGUUUGCAUUCAAUUGUAUUUUCUGCAAUUGUAGUGCUGAUAUAUUUUGGAAUGACUUUUCAUAGUGUCAAAAGUAACCACAUUCAAAUGACAUGUUGGGUCCGUGUUAGCACGGGCCAUACCUAUCUAGUAUAUUAUAACACUAUUACAUAUUUAUUCCGAAAGGUACAAAUUCCGGGUCAGUAAUUUUAUUCAGCCCAAUAACUCUUCAUCCGAUAUAACUGGGCUAAUGAUUUUGUUUAGCCCAACAACUUUUCUCCGUAAGUCAGGCAGUCCGAUUAGGAACAAACCUCAAACCGGUGAAGUCUCUCUUUUUUUAUUUCUAUAUGAAUUUUGCAGUUUUGAAUUAUGUUAAUUAGAUAGAUUUACAAAUAACACAUGAAUUAGGGAUAAUUGUUACGCAAACCUGUUUGGAUUGUGAUGUGUGUAUCCCUUUAUAUAUUGACCUAGUUUUGUGAUUUGAUACAGAAAGCUAUUCAAUCUCUUAGAUUACUCAAUUCCAAGUUAUCUUGAAAAUCCAACAGCAUGCCACUGUUUGAAAUAAGUAAGUUUUUUUUUAUGUUUGUAAAGUUUAUUCUUUAAUUACUUAUGAUGUGAUGUUGCUGAUUACGAACUAGUACAAUUUUAUCCGUUUUUUACUUCUAUGAUAUUGCCGUUAAACCUAGCACCAAAUAUAGAUUGGUGAAAAGAAAUUACCCUUCGGUGACCUAGUGGUUUGGGCUUGAGACGUUGUAGGUCUCAAGUUUGAAACUCCUUGUCAACUAAAGCAAGAAAUUUGUCUCCUGGGCCGAGCUCGUCGCACAAGCUUGCCUAGUGUGGAUUACCUCUCUUGUGUAGUUUGCGAGCUAUUGCUUUAAAGCGGGCUUUUACCUGUGCGCACCAAUUCUGUCAAGGGUUGUCAAAAUUUAACAUUAGUUAUAUCAUUGGCACAUAUCCUCCAAGGUGUUUGUGAUUUAUGCUCCAUAGACUCUCUAAAGGGGAGUGAACAAACCUCUUGCUUUUGCCAUUCCCCUUGGGUAAAAUUUAUGGUUAUCCUUUUUUGAUUGAUUCAGGGCGCUGCCCCCCUUUCUUAGAAUUAGAACCCAUUGAGGGGCCUCAACCCGGAGUUGGUUAUCCAAUGAUGAUUAAAAGUGGAUCAACCCAUAUCAUAGAAUAUAUCAAUUUCUGCACUUAUGUUAUUCUUAUUUGACUCGUGUUUUGAUGAUUAUGGCAGUAUAUCACCUUGGUGUUACUGAGUGAGGCAACUAGCAAGGCCUAUAGCUUGUGCCAUGAGAAAAGGUGUCAACAUGCAUCCCAGCCUCCAACGAACCCUUGCUCAAACAGCUAAGGUAUCACUCCAAAAAAUCACAAUCUCCUGUUUGCAAAGGUAGUACUACCACCCCACAAAUCAACUACUAACACUUUUUUUAAUAACUCAGACUCACAAAACAGAGGAAAAGGAAGUCAUAGAGACGGUUGCUCAGCAUCUCGUUAUCCAUACGAUAGCACUCAGUGCACUGGUCUACUAUAUUACAUCAAAUGAUCAAGAAACUGAACGAAAGCAGAAGCAGUUGGAUGAGCUGAAACAAGAAGGCAAGAACUGGACCAAAAGUUAUUAGAGUACCAGAAUAGGAUACGACUUUUGUAUGAAUAAAUCUCUCAGUAUAGACUCUUCUCAUUCUUCUCUUCUAUUGCAAUUGGGACCAAAUUGAUUUCUGGGUAGAAUUUAAAGUUUCUUUUUUGGAAAAUUCCUGUAACGCCUAUUUAGUACUUUCUUUUUUGUUCCAUUGAAAUUGCAUGUUUUAAUAUGGUAAUUCUUUGUUAAAUAGAUUUACCAAAUAAGUAACACCUUAUUGUGUUAAUUGUUAAUCAACUUCCAAUUUAUGCACUCAUCACUUGCCUUCAAGAGAGUGUGCACAUUGAGAAAUUGAACCUUUUCAUUGUGUCUUUCUAAGGGGAAAUACAUUUCUAUGAAGACAAAUUGUGUCUUUCUCUCAAUUCUCUUCUAAGAUAUUAGUACAAUACUUCCCUAGACAGAGCUACAAGUUCGUCUACGGAUCACUUAAUAUAUGUAAAUAAUUUGUUUGAGAUUCAGUUAUAAGUUAUCAAAAGAGUUACUUUUUUUAAGAGAGAGAGAGAGUGUUUGAAUACACCUAACUAAACGUAAAUUAUUAGUUUCAUCCUCGAACUAUUAACAUUAAAAUUAAUUCUUUACUUGACUAACUGAAUUUAAAUAUACCUCCAAUCUUGCAAUAUGAGCAAAAUACACCCUUAAAUUCUCGUCAAGUUUAGGAGUGUUUAACACUUCUCUCUACUUUUUAUUAAGACUUGCAUGUCAUAGAAGAGUUUGAAACCACUUGCUAUGUCGUGUGGCAGAUCGAUGAUGUAUCUAAGUUUAGUUAGUCAAGUAGAUGAGUAAUUUUAAAACUGUCAGACGAAACUAAUAAUUUAUAUCAAAUUCAGGAAUAUUUUCGACACAUCUUUCAUUUUUUUUUAUUUCUUACAAUAGACUUCAGUAACUGAUUAAAUCUUGGACCUUAAUUUCCUUGUAACAUAUGUCUACAUCUAGUAUACAAGAAAAGUCCAUUUUGACGGAGAAUCACAUUAUUAUUCUAGUAAUUUAAAACCACUGCUUUAAUAUGUGGAGCCUAGCAAGUUAGUAGUAUAUCAAUAUCAAUCGACAAUAAUAAUUCAUAAAUAUGUCACUGUUAAUGCAGCAUUCCUCUUACUUUCCUUCUCUGUCUUUUUAUUUUUGGUGUCUUCCUUCUCUUAAAUUUUCGUCCAAGAAAGUAAUAUAAUUUCUAAUAUGAGUCUCCCAAUUAGAGUUCUUUUAAAAAAGUAACGUUCACAUAUCAAAUUUUGCACUCAAUAUCAUCGUACCAUUAUUGUGCACCUCUUGGACAAAAGAAAAGUCCAUUAAUAAGGAGCUUUACAUGAUCCUGUAAAGCCAAUUUUAUUUUUUUCCAACUUCCUAUAAAGCCAUUCUAUUUUACUAUUUGCGGGGCACACUGAUUAUAAGUGUUUUCGUAUCAUUUCAAGGCUUGUGGCACCAUGAAUUAUAUAUCUAUACAAACUUUAUUGAAAUAAAUUGAAUAGGGAUACAUAAUAGAAAAAAAAUGGGAUAUAAAUAAUCAGUUCCUUCCUUUUUGGACUCCCAACGCCUUUUGGAUGAAGUAGCGGCUCGUGAAGAUUAUUUUCUUUUAAUUAAAAUAAACUUCUAGCCUCGAAGGACAAUGAUUUGCCACAUACAUCCUAUAAAUUUUAAACAUAUAAGCAUGAACGCUCAUUUAGGUCGGGGGUCAUUUUAGACUAAAUGCGGUCUUUCUAUUGAACCCAAUACAUCUUGGGUAUUAGGUCAUUUUAGAUCGAUGCCCCAAAUCAUGAUUUUGACUUUGCUCUACGCUUAUUGACUAAGAGUGAGUUUUAUUGAAAAUAAACUGGUCACCCAAGUUGGACAAACUGUGGAAUGAAGAUAAUAAACGGUAUUGGACGAUCAUGAACCAACUACCCUUUUACUACUCCAAAAAGUAGGAUAUUGUUCUGAAGAAAUGAAUGCGAAUAGUCAUAUAAUCGCUCUUUUCCUUAUGCAUUUAAUUUGCCAUGUGACGGAGUUGUAUGCCAUGAAUUGCGACAAUAUAUAAUUUGCGGAAUUUAAAUAUAUAUAUAUAUAUAUAGAUCCAACACAAAGAAACCUUUUUAGGAAAUUUGAUUAAGUUAAUUAAACCAAAGUUAAAAACUAAAGCUAAUAUAAAAUACAAUCAGGUAGCUAAAUAAGCAAAGAGAAAAAGAAAUUGUCUAGUUUCUGUCCGCCUGGACCAACAGUUGGGCCCUUUUGUUGCUGAGUUUUGGGGCUUUUGCCCCAUCUUGUUGUAUAUCAGGUAUACUGAUUAUAUAUACAUGGUGUAUAUCAUAUGUAUAUCAGAUGUAUAACGCAUCUUCCACCUAUAUAUUUGCUUCCCUUUCAUCAUUAUCUGCUUCAAUUUCAACUUCACGUCAAACCUAUGUGCCAAAGCAAGCUCAAAGAGAAACGGGGUUCGAUGGACUCACUCGAGCACUUCACACAUACAAGGAACAAAAACUUAAAUUAAUAUCAAACAUCAAAGAUUCAUGGUAAACAAACAUAUUAAUUCUCAAUAUCCCAAUUGUUACUCUCUAUUUUUAUAAGAAAAAACUAAAUCCAUCAUGUUGUAUAGUUUGGAAUGUUGUUACAUGUUGUAUUGUAUUAUAGUGUUAGUUUAAAUACAAUGUUUGUUUUGAUUUUAGUUAAAUUCUAUUGUAUCGUAUAGUUUAAAUUCAUCAUUAGGUAACGACGGAAAGACCCAUUUUAUAUAACGGUCGAUUUGGUGUGAUCGCGUCGUUACCUUAAUAGUUUAUUCUCAUUUUAUCUUUAUUUAUUAUCUAAUAAUCAUUUUUCAUCUUUUAUCCCACCUUUUCAUAGUAGCUCUAUCCCGUACCCUACUUUUCGUGUAGGUUUAUCAUUUAAAUUAUGGAUGUGUAACAUUAUAUAACGACGGGGAACGAUAUAAUCUAUCCAAAUAUUGUAUUCAUUAAAACAAUAUGAUACGAUACAAUACAACACAAUUCAAUCCAAUACACUACAAUAUAAUAUAUUAUGAAACAAUACGUAACAACCACCCAAACAAAAGUGUAAAUAAUAGGGAUUCAAUAAAAGAUCUUGUAAUUAUCACUUCAUGCAUGAAUAGGUAUGAUGAUGCAAUGAGAUUUAACAAAUUAAUAUGAUUUGACUUACUAGAACCUCACUAUUCAUUCUAGGAAUAAAUCAUCAAUGCAAAUAGAACAAGACAAUGAGUUGCUAUACUUUCACAGCCACUGUACAAGACGAAACAAGCAAUUAUUCCUCACAAAAUAUUUUGCAAUGUAAAUUAGAUAAUUAUAUAUUUCUGUAAUUAUCCUAUUAGUAUUAGCAAAGACUUAACUAAAUUAUUAGUCUUGUAUGUAUAUAUUUUUUCUUUCUUUGUACCUUUUUUCUUUAACGUCUACACUUUAUUUCGUUUAAAGGCCCAACGGACCUUCAAAUUUUUUAUUGUAGUAUACACAUCUUUAAUUGAUUUGAAAGACAGAAUGUUUUAGUAAUGUUGAAUAUAAGCCCAAAGUCGAAAACUUUUUCUACUUCAAGCCUUCAUAUAACCACAGGAAAAUUACUAAUAUACGUAUGUAUUAUAAAUCUAAAACUAAUAUUAACAUAAGUUAGUUAUUUUCUUAUAUAGUACUUAUGACAUUUUCAAAGGGAAAAUUGUAUAAAAUAGCAAACUAUUAAUUCAAAUUAAAUGUUAUAGCCAUAGUUUAUUUUAAUUGUAAUUCGUAGCAAACAUCCCCUUUUUUUGCCAUCUGAUUCGGUAUACGAUUAGCCAUUUUAUACAUUUCGGUAUAAAAUGUAUAAAAUGCGUUUGCGUUUGUAUAAAGCGAGAGAAAAGUGUAUAUACAAAUACAAAUACAUAUAUUUUCGUCCUAUACACUUANNNNNNNNNNNNNNNNNNNNNNNNNNNNNNNNNNNNNNNNNNNNNNNNNNNNNNNNNNNNNNNNNNNNNNNNNNNNNNNNNNNNNNNNNNNNNNNNNNNNNNNNNNNNNNNNNNNNNNNNNNNNNNNNNNNNNNNNNNNNNNNNNNNNNNNNNNNNNNNNNNNNNNNNNNNNNNNNNNNNNNNNNNNNNNNNNNNNNNNNNNNNNNNNNNNNNNNNNNNNNNNNNNNNNNNNNNNNNNNNNNNNNNNNNNNNNNNNNNNNNNNNNNNNNNNNNNNNNNNNNNNNNNNNNNNNNNNNNNNNNNNNNNNNNNNNNNNNNNNNNNNNNNNNNNNNNNNNNNNNNNNNNNNNNNNNNNNNNNNNNNNNNNNNNNNNNNNNNNNNNNNNNNNNNNNNNNNNNNNNNNNNNNNNNNNNNNNNNNNNNNNNNNNNNNNNNNNNNNNNNNNNNNNNNNNNNNNNNNNNNNNNNNNNNNNNNNNNNNNNNNNNNNNNNNNNNNNNNNNNNNNNNNNNNNNNNNNNNNNNNNNNNNNNNNNNNNNNNNNNNNNNNNNNNNNNNNNNNNNNNNNNNNNNNNNNNNNNNNNNNNNNNNNNNNNNNNNNNNNNNNNNNNNNNNNNNNNNNNNNNNNNNNNNNNNNNNNNNNNNNNNNNNNNNNNNNNNNNNNNNNNNNNNNNNNNNNNNNNNNNNNNNNNNNNNNNNNNNNNNNNNNNNNNNNNNNNNNNNNNNNNNNNNNNNNNNNNNNNNNNNNNNNNNNNNNNNNNNNNNNNNNNNNNNNNNNNNNNNNNNNNNNNNNNNNNNNNNNNNNNNNNNNNNNNNNNNNNNNNNNNNNNNNNNNNNNNNNNNNNNNNNNNNNNNNNNNNNNNNNNNNNNNNNNNNNNNNNNNNNNNNNNNNNNNNNNNNNNNNNNNNNNNNNNNNNNNNNNNNNNNNNNNNNNNNNNNNNNNNNNNNNNNNNNNNNNNNNNNNNNNNNNNNNNNNNNNNNNNNNNNNNNNNNNNNNNNNNNNNNNNNNNNNNNNNNNNNNNNNNNNNNNNNNNNNNNNNNNNNNNNNNNNNNNNNNNNNNNNNNNNNNNNNNNNNNNNNNNNNNNNNNNNNNNNNNNNNNNNNNNNNNNNNNNNNNNNNNNNNNNUAUACACUUAUAAUUAUACAAAUACAGAUCUUAUUAUACAAAUUACAAUGUAUAAAUGAAUUUAACAAAACUGAACAAUUUGUAUAAAAUUGGAUGUUUGUAGCGAAUUAUACAAAUCAAAAGCUCCAUAACAAACAUAAAAUUUGUUAUGGAGCGCAAUUAUGCAAACUAUAGCUAUAGCAUACAAAUAUGAUUUUUAUGUUUGCUAUAUGUGAAAGUUGCUUCAUUAGAAAUGUAUUAAAUUUUCUUUUUAGUUUAUAAGUUUUUGGUUAAAUGACAGUAGAAUUUUGUCUAAUAAUUUAGAAAUUUAAAUUAAAUUACUUAAACUUUAUUGUCUAUUAGUAAGAAUUUUGAUAACAAAAAUUAAGAUAUUGUAUUGCAACAAAUGACCGGAUAGAUAGGCUCCAAUGGCAACUCUAAGCAUUAAAAUUCACAUGAAUUCUUUGAAGGUUGUGUAAACAUCUUGAACAUUAGGACAAUAAGAUAAAAGAAGAUUAGGACCGUAUCUCCAAAUUUCUAGUUUAUGAUUUAACUAUCUAUAUAAGAUUAAUUUUUUUUUUAUGGAUAGAAAAAUAGUGUAUUCAUUCACUUAUUAUUAGUAUACAUUUAUAUUUAUAUUAUGUCGGGUAAUAAUAUAUAUAUAUUAAGAAAUCGAACAAUUUAUGUAUACACUACAAUGAAUACACUUCAUUGAAGGUUCUUUUUUAUCUCUUGAACAACAGGUAUACUUUGCAAUUCAUGUAUAAAUAUCUAUGUAUUCAUUCACUCAAAAUUUAUUUACACACCAUAUUUCUUUAGUGUGUAAAUGAGGAAUGCACAUGAAAUUUAAAAUGUUCAACAGUAAUAAAACAAGAACUUACAUGACUAAAAUAUAAAGUUAUGGGGUGAAUCCACAAAAUCAGAAUUUCCAUUCUUAUGAAUAAUCCUAGGAUAACUUUCUUAACCAUGACAUUGAUAUUCAUAAUCAAUUACUUUUACCUAAAUUUUCGCCUAAAACAAAUAUAACCUUCCAUUUCAUAAAUUAAAACCCCCAAAAAUUGAACCACGAUAUAAAAGGGAAUUAAACAUAGACGAAUUUAAAAGUUAAACACAAACAAUAGACGAUGAAUGUUUUUUUUUACAUAGAACUCUAAUAAACAGUAAAUUAUUUUUUAUUUAAAGUAAUGAAGAAAAGAAUUAAAUAAAUAUUUACAUAAUCAAUAAAAAGACAUCAAUCAAAAGAAAUUGGUGUGCGUAUGGGAAAGAAGAGAAAAAAAGAGAGGAUAAAAAACAAACUUCCCUAUAAAAAAGGACACUAGAUGCUACCUCCUAAAAGUUAUUUAAUUUAAUUAAAAAAGUUUUUCUCACGUUAUUAAUUGCAAAAUUUAAUUAUUAUUAUUUUUUUUUGUUAAAAAAAAUAAAAGAAGGCAAUAUAUUGCCAAUUAGUAAAAGAGGAUGCCAUAAAGAAAUUAAGAUUUUUUUAUUUAAUCUGAUAUUUCUGGGGAAAACACACACUACAUCAAAAUGGAUCUUUAGCGGUAAUUAGUUAGCAAUUGCAGCUAAAUAUUUAUCUUUAGCGGCAAUUAAUUAGCAAUUGCAGCUAAAUAUUUAUUUUUAGCAGCAAUUAACACUCUUUGUAUAUGUCCCUAAAGGCUUUAGCGACAUUGGAUCUUAUGACACUUAACUAAUGUCGGUAAAGACUUGAGCAUUCUUUAUUAAUGUGUCUAUUUAUUGCCGCUAAAAAAUGUUUUUGUUGUAGUGACAUUCUUAUUUCUUUAAUGGGUUGAUCUCGUUUAUGAUUUUUUUAAAUUCUGAAACUUGUUUUUUUUUUUUAAAUUUAGAAACAAGCAUUCGUUUUUUUCGAUUGUUGAUGUCAUUUGUUACUUUAGUUUUUUAAUCAGGAAUCUAAUUUUUUGGAAUAUGUAUCUAUUUGUAUUUUGAUUUGUUUUAGGAAUUUGAUAAAAAUUUUUUGAGAAAUAAGCUUUUUCUUUUGUAUGAAUCUGCAUGACACCAAUAUUUUGUUUGAAAAUAGUUAGAUAUGUUAGAUUUCAAAUAACAAUCUUCUUAAUCUCUUUAUAAAUAUAUUAGAAGUUUAUGGGAUAUUUGAUAUGCCUUUUAAAAAUAUAUAAUACCCUUUUUGUAGGCAUGAACUACUAUUUAGGAUGGAGUAUCCUUAACAAUUAGGGUGUGCAAAAAUCGAACUGACCAAUAAACCAAACCUAAAAAAGUGUUAUUGGUUUAUUGUUAUUGGGUUACUGGAAUAAAAAAAAAUUAUCGGGUUAUAGAUUCGGUAUUGGUUUUUAAUAUUGGGUAAUCGAUAACCCAUUAAGCCUAGUAAUUUGCUAAAUUUACUUGUACAUAAUUAUUAUAUAUUUAUCCUUUAGCCUUCAAUUCACACUUCAAAGUGACUUUUAAUUCACAACUUCACAUUAUACAAAAUGUUAUCGGUUCGGUAUUGGUUUUUAAAAUUGGGUUAUUGGGUAAACCGAUAACCCAUUAAGCCUAGUAAAUUUACUACAUUUACUUGUACAUAAAUAUUAUAUAUUAAUCUCAAUACCUUACUAGUUACUGUCUUUAUCCCUUAGUCUUCAAUUCACACUUCAAAGUGAUUUUUAGUUCACAACUUCACAUUUACAACACGUCAAAAUCUAAAGUAAGAACCUUCUUCCUCUUAAUUUCUCUUUGUGUUACACUUGUAUAGUUUUUUAAUUACAUUAUUGUGUUGUUGCGUCAAAUUUAUUAGAGAAGUUAUAUAUUUAUUUUAUAAGUAUUUUCUUAUUGGUUAAACCGAAAACCGAACCGUUAAGGACUAAAAUCGAUACAAAAUCUCUUAUUGGUUUGGUUAUUGGUUUGACUUAUUUAAAAAUCAAAAAUCAAACCGAUAAUACAUAAAACUGAAUCGAUCGAUGCACACCCCUACCAACAACCUUAACUGAAAAUGAAUACUUCUGGUAGAGUUCCAAUUAAAUUUAGGGAAAAUGCAUAAGUACCCCCCCCAGCCUAGGCCCAAAAUCCUUGUGACACUCCUAACCUUUANNNNNNNNNNNNNNNNNNNNNNNNNNNNNNNNNNNNNNNNNNNNNNNNNNNNNNNNNNNNNNNNNNNNNNNNNNNNNNNNNNNNNNNNNNNNNNNNNNNNNNNNNNNNNNNNNNNNNNNNNNNNNNNNNNNNNNNNNNNNNNNNNNNNNNNNNNNNNNNNNNNNNNNNNNNNNNNNNNNNNNNNNNNNNNNNNNNNNNNNNNNNNNNNNNNNNNNNNNNNNNNNNNNNNNNNNNNNNNNNNNNNNNNNNNNNNNNNNNNNNNNNNNNNNNNNNNNNNNNNNNNNNNNNNNNNNNNNNNNNNNNNNNNNNNNNNNNNNNNNNNNNNNNNNNNNNNNNNNNNNNNNNNNNNNNNNNNNNNNNNNNNNNNNNNNNNNNNNNNNNNNNNNNNNNNNNNNNNNNNNNNNNNNNNNNNNNNNNNNNNNNNNNNNNNNNNNNNNNNNNNNNNNNNNNNNNNNNNNNNNNNNNNNNNNNNNNNNNNNNNNNNNNNNNNNNNNNNNNNNNNNNNNNNNNNNNNNNNNNNNNNNNNNNNNNNNNNNNNNNNNNNNNNNNNNNNNNNNNNNNNNNNNNNNNNNNNNNNNNNNNNNNNNNNNNNNNNNNNNNNNNNNNNNNNNNNNNNNNNNNNNNNNNNNNNNNNNNNNNNNNNNNNNNNNNNNNNNNNNNNNNNNNNNNNNNNNNNNNNNNNNNNNNNNNNNNNNNNNNNNNNNNNNNNNNNNNNNNNNNNNNNNNNNNNNNNNNNNNNNNNNNNNNNNNNNNNNNNNNNNNNNNNNNNNNNNNNNNNNNNNNNNNNNNNNNNNNNNNNNNNNNNNNNNNNNNNNNNNNNNNNNNNNNNNNNNNNNNNNNNNNNNNNNNNNNNNNNNNNNNNNNNNNNNNNNNNNNNNNNNNNNNNNNNNNNNNNNNNNNNNNNNNNNNNNNNNNNNNNNNNNNNNNNNNNNNNNNNNNNNNNNNNNNNNNNNNNNNNNNNNNNNNNNNNNNNNNNNNNNNNNNNNNNNNNNNNNNNNNNNNNNNNNNNNNNNNNNNNNNNNNNNNNNNNNNNNNNNNNNNNNNNNNNNNNNNNNNNNNNNAGUUUUUUCUUGAUUUUAUUUUGUUAGCUUUUCGAAGAAAGGAGCAAUUUAACUUAUGAUAAUGGAGGUUUUUUUUCCAAACAUGAAGAACAAUAAUAAAGAAGAAGACAAUUGAGUUAAUAUUUAUUUUUUCCAAGUUUAUUUUAACACAUGACCAAUUUUUAUUGGUCAGUGCUGUCUAAAAGCUGCACCCACGCGCCUAACAUAGGUGAAAUCACGGACUCAGCCACGUAGGCCGUUAUGUGUCUCAGGGAUUUUGGGCAUAGGUUGGGGGGGUACUUAUGCAUUUUCCCUUAAAUUUAAACACAUCUUGUAGGAUCCAAUAAAAUUUUGAUACGUACAAAUGUCUCUACUUCAAGACUUGUUGGAGUGUAGACUUGAUGAAACUCUAAGACAAGAGUUGAAGUAUUCAUUUAUGGAGCUUCCAUAUUUGUGAUUUUGUAGUUUCAAUUUUGCAGAUCGAGAGAAGAGAAGAAUGACAGAUUGAUCAUAGCCUUUCCUCCCACAUCAAAAGGAGAGUAAAAUCGAAGAGUUUUAUAAAGGAAAAAUUAUUUAAAUACCUAUCUUAUUUUACUACAAUCUACAAAAUUCUCUACGAUUUCAAAAAAUUACAAAAAUUCCCUGUUAGAUAUAUCCCUAUCCCUUCUUAGAUACAUUCGUGAGCUAUGUUUUCCUGAAUAACAAUGUAUCUAUGUAUUCGAAACUCGAAUACAUCCGUGAGCUAUGUUUUCUUGAAUAACAAUGUAUCUAUGUAUCCAAAAUCCUUUAAUUUAAAGGAAUUUUUAUAAUUUGGAAAUGAGUAGGAUAAAAUUUAAUUAACUUUCAACACUACGAGAUCCAUGCAACUUUUUACUUUUAUAAAGGGAAAAUACAUAAUUACCCCAUUCAACUAUAACACUUUUUCUAAAAAGACACUUGAACUUUGUAAAGGUCCUACUAACCCCUUAAACAAUUUAAAAGUGGUAAAAGUGUCUCAUUUUUCGGUCAACCCCAAAUUUAAGAAGGGAAGUGAAUACACGCACCAACUAAUACUUACCACGUGUCAAUUAUUUUAUUUUUAUAUUUUUAUUUUCAUAUAUGUUAUUCUUAUUCUAUUUGUUUUUCUAUAAAAAAACAAAAUCUCUAUUCUUCUUCAAUGUUCCAUUCUUCUUCAAUAUUCAACUGCGCUGGUCUCUUUUUUCACGCUGCCAGUGAUUCUCUACCAUAGCCAUCACCAGUGGUGGAGGGAGGAUUUUCAUCGAGGGAGUUCAAAAAAAAUUAAUCAUGUAAAUAAUAUCCACAAAUAAACGGGUCGAAUCGGAUAUAAACGGGUCGGAUUAAACGGUCGAAUCAAGAAAAAACAGAAUUUUUAAUAUUUGACUUUAUAAUUAGGGAUUAAACUAAUAAAUCCUAAAUUUCCAAUCAGCGUUUUAAUUUUUUGGAACUAAACAUCGUUUUCUAAUUGCAUUAUUAUUAUUUUAAAAAAUAAAACGCCUGAAAUAAGCUGAUAAAACAAAAUGCCUCUACCCGGAUUCGAACACGCGACCUCGCGUGCAGUAGAGCAAAUUCCUGAACCCCCAACGCCACUGAGCUACGCCUUUGGUGUAUGUUCAGGGGGUUCAAUAGUAUAUAUAUACACAUAUAUUCAAAAUUUAAUCUUAUAUAUAUAGUGUAAUUUUUCGACGAUGAACCCCCUUCAUUCAACGUAAAUCCGCCCCUGGCCAUCACCCACAUACUUUAACACCAUCUCAAUCAUUUUCUCUAGCAAAUCAAAAAUAAAAUUGAAAAAUAAAAAAUACUAUCAAAUUUCAGGCGCUUCUUCUUCGAUCGUUCAAUCAUUUUUGUGUACUUCGCCUUUAAUUUUUGCUCAAAAUUAACAUUUGUUGUAUCUACAAAGACUGAAAUUUCUCUCUGACUCAUAUAAGGUAUUUUUUUACUGGGUUUGAACGUGACCCCGCUGAUUCUCCCUCCGUUGUCGUCAAAUCUCCGAUGCUUCUCUCACUUGUCCUUUCCGAUCUUCCUCUGCAACCUCUCUCUGCCUUCAUAUCGUUUUCUGUCAAUAAUCUCAUUAAUUUGAUCUCCCUCAGCAAAAAAUGAGUCAGAGAACUCUUCUGGGUAAAAGUAGAUGAAGGAGAUAGAAAUUAAAACAAAAACCAUAAAACAAAUAAAAGUAAAAGAAAAUAAUAUUUUAAUUAAAUAAAUGUUAAAAUAAAUAAAUAAUAUUUUUUUUACUCGUCUCAAUCGUCACUGGCGAGUGAAGUACACUCCAUGUACCACAUAGGAUCAUAAGGGGAUAAUAAAUCCACUCUGAACAAGAAUAAGUGGGUAUUAGGACCUUUUCAAAGUUUCAGUGUCUUUUUAAAAAAAGUGUUAUAGUUGAAUGGGGUAAUGAUGUAUUUUCUCUUUUAUAAAAGGCCAAACACAUACACAACCCCUCAAACUUGCCCUCAUUUUUCAUUUUGGCACUCCAACUUAGCCUUAUUCCAUUUUAACCCUUAAACUCCAUUUUUUUUGUACCAUUUAAACACUAAUACUAAUUUUUAUGAUAUUUUUUUUAUUUAUGUUCUUCAAUUGCAAUUUUAAUUUUAAAAAUAGAUGUGUGUCUGUUAAUUUUCGUAAAAAAAUUAAACAUUUGCGAACGAACAUAAAAUUUUUUAAACAAUAAUAUUAUUUUUUGAGAUUUCUCUGUAUUUUUGCAUGAAAGUAAAUUGACGAAAGUUCUUUGAUUUUCUUUCUUAAACAUUCAAUUAAAUUAAAUAACACUAUUUAUUUAUUAUUUCUUAUCAUCUAGGCUAUCUAAAUUUAACGCAAAUACUCAUUUUUUAUUUUUAAUAUAAAUCAAUAUGAAUAAAAAACUCAUCUUCAAUACGAAUAAAAAAGUCUCUUGUUCAUUGCUAAUAACACUACAAAAAAAUGUUAAAACUCGACUGACUUUAAUUUGUUAGAUUGUCGGUAAUUUUUAAGAAAGAAAACCAAUACAAUUUCGUCGGUUAUUUUUCACAUAAAAAUACAUAAAACUCUUAAAAAGAAAUUUUUAGUUUUUAAAAAGAAUUAUUUUUUGUUAAUUUUUAUUCUUUUUUAACUAAAAUUCACUGACACAUGUCGAUUUAAAAAUAAGAAGUUUCAAUUGAAGAAUAUAUAUAAAAAAUAAAGAAAUCAUAAAAAUAGUAUUUCGUGUUAAAAUGGUACAUAAAAAAUGGAGUUUAAGGGUUAAAAUGGAACAAGGCUAAGUUGGAGUGCCAAAAUGAAAAAUGAAGGCAAGUUAGAGGGGUUGUAUAUGUGUUUGGCCUUUAUAAAACAUAACUUAAAUUUAUAUGAUAUACACACUUUUGAGGCUUUAGAUAUCAUAGCCCAAAAAACAAAUCCGUGCGAACCUAGAUCCAAUACACCCCAUAUAAUACAUGCUAUGGACUAUGGUCGUGACAAUGAAUUUUAAAGAUUACAUCAACCACCUGCUGGUCGGAGAUCUCAAUGAAAAAGAACAAUAAAAAAAAAGGAUAAAUGGACAAGAAAACAGAGUUAUAGACUCUGUAAUCUCCACAAAGAAGUUGGCAACCUUGUGAUCAGUUGGAUGAAAUUACAAUGUACAUUUUUUUAAUCUCAAGUUGAUGACCAUCCAAAUUAACUUCACUAUAAAAGCAAUGACAUUAUUAUCAAAGUAAUCCAUCCAAAGGACAAGAAAACUAGGAAAGAACAGAAAAAUCAAUUUUUUUUACCCAAUUAAAUAGCAGAAAUGGCCGGAGCAAGCUACAAAUUAACCAUGUUUUUCAGCUUUGUUCUAUUGUUCCUUCUCUCCAUUAACAUAGCAGAAAGUAGAAUUGUUUCCUGUAAGUAUGACAUAAGUGGCAUAAUACAUAAAUAUGUUUUUAACUUGGCCUCAACUCACGUUUAUGCCCUCUGACUUUGGGUAUGCGCAAGUAGAUACUUGAACUUAUAUAAAGUUGAAUAAAUAGGCACACACGUCCUACGUGGCAUCCUAUAUGUCAAUUUGUAUAUUAUGCCACAUAUGAUUCAUGUGUCUACAAGUUUAAGUGCUUACAAAGUUGGAAGACAUAAAUGUGAAAUAAGACCAAGUUAAAGGAUACAUUUAUGGAUUAUGCCUAAAUUUUAACCUACUAAUAUCUAGCAUAAUUUUUAGUAUUUUAGUUAAAUUGUCUAUUAAUUUAUUUAUCAAUAAUUAUUUUCUUGAUGGUGCAGCUGGAAUUGGGACGAAUUCAGGUCUGAUAUGUAGUAAGAUUUAUGGUGCAAAUAUUGGAGAUACAUGCUUCAGCAUUAUGCAACAAUUUAGUGUGACCGCUAAGGACUUUACAACUUUCAAUCCCAAUCUCAAUUGUGAAAAAAUGUUCGUUGGUGAAUGGGUAUGCCUUGAUGGUUCCUUCUUCUAAGAAUAUCGACAAGGGAAUAUUAAGCAUAAACAACUUAAAUUACUUGGUAUUUUUGUUGGGAAAGAGAAGACAUCUUUAAAUUUAAAGCUAAUAAUAUUGUAUGAAUAAAAUUAAAAGCAAUAAUGUUGCUUUUGUGAUGUGUCUUGGUUCUCUUUUCCUUAAAAUUCAUAUAUAAUGAAAUCAUGUUGCUAGUUGAUUUCUUAGUGUGUUUCAUCAUUAAUCUUUAUAUAACUUAGCUUGUCUUCACUUAAUCCAACAUGGUGUUCACCUCUCAACAAUAACUAGCAAGAAAGGGGUCAAUAAACUUGGAGACCCUUGGCUUACACGAACUGCAAUACUAUUUUGUUUGGUGUAUCAUGUAACGUUUGUGACAUAGGACGGGGCGUUGAUGAGGGCAUGUCAAGUAGGAUUGAUGACAAACAUCCAAGCUAAGAAAAAAUCAUGUAACUGAGGUGCACAUGAUAUUUUAGGUGAAUCCCACAUUAAAAUGGGAGAGGAAAGUGAAGAGCUCUGUAAGUCAUAUCUCAAGUUCACGACUCUAAAUGACGAAUUUGUGCGGGCCUAGGCUUAGAGCAAAGCUUGUACUCCAUUACUAUGAUAGUGGGGCGAACCUCAAUGAGUAUGUUGAGUUCCUAAGGCGGUGUAUGUGACGCCCAUGAUGGAGGCUGGGUUGAUCAGGACAAAUCAAGCUUGAUUGACAGAUUUCUAGGCUAACAAGCUUUUGAAGAUGACGUGCACAUGACAUCUUAAAUAUCAGAAUGAGAGAGGAAAGUGAAGAAUUUUAUAAGACAUGACUCAGAUUUACAUGAUAUACACACUUUAAGGCUU
This 72198-nucleotide long non-coding RNA is filed under the name Solanum tuberosum (potato). RNAcentral describes it as "long non-coding RNA (STUB_LNC007662)". The record is from RNAcentral. Lineage: Eukaryota; Viridiplantae; Streptophyta; Magnoliopsida; Solanales; Solanaceae.